GGCCGAGACCUCCUCCUCUUGAUAGUUCUUUUGCUACAUACCAUGUGUAAUUAGUUAUUUAUUUUAUCUAUAAUUAAUGUUCCACACAUGUGCCGCAAAAUUUGAUGUGAUGGAGAAUUUUGCAAAAAAAUUUAGAACUAAACAAGGCCUUUGGGGAAGGAAGCAAAAAAAAGAACAUUCGUUCCGAUAGGUGGUUUAGAUUAGGCCUACUGGUUUGCAUCGGUAAAUGUUUGGACACAUAUAAGAUAUUAAAUAUAAAUAAAAAAAUUAUUAAUUACACAGUUUAUAUGUAAUUUGCAAGAUGAAUCUUUUGAGUCUAAUUAGUCUAUAAUUUUGGAUACUAAUUGUCAAACAAAAUAAAAAAAAUUACAAUACUGUACAACCAAACACGCCUGGCCGUUGGUUCUUCUACCCACUAGUCUGGGAUGCUUUCCGGUGGGAAGCACUAAGCUUCGGUGGUUAAUGACCUGCAACCGUGCCAUUGUGACUAACAUUUGUUUUGAAGGAACAAUUUAAAGUUAUGUAAACUAAUGCACAAGAGGAAUGUGACCGCCAAUUCCAAACGCAAGACGAUCUUAGACUUGGAUUGCAGGCCACCUUUUUCCUUGUAGCCGAAUUGGCAAUUCACCUUAUAUCGUGACUUGAGCCCAGAAAGUAAACACAUAUUUUAGAAUGGUAACACGGUAACACCACGUGUUUUAUGAGCUAAUACCAGUAAUACCUUGGCCUUGUUUACUUCUUAUAAAUUUUGCAAAAAAAAUUAGAUUUCCUGUCUUGCGGCAUAUGCAUAAAGCAUUAAAUAUAUAUAUAAAAAAAUAAUUAAUUACACAGUUUGCCUGUAAUUUGCGAGAUUAAUCUUUUAAGUCUAGUUAGUCUAUGAUUGGACAAUAUUUGUCAAAUACAAACAAAAGUGCUACAGUGUCCAUUUCGCAAAUUCUUUGCAACUAAACAAGGCCUUGGUUCUUCCAGAGAUCAGUUGCUCCCUUGUGCUGCUCCUGUCGGCUACCGGCAAGAAGCUGACUCUGUUAAUUACCACGAUCCAAAAAAUAGCUACAGCUAGAUCGGGUCUCACAUGAUUAUUAUUGUUUUACCAAUGAAUAAUAUUUAAUAGGUAAAAUUGAGAGAAGUUGGACAGAGAACAUAAUUAAGUUCUUGUAUCUCAUUGUAAUUUCACCAAUUCUAAAGUCAGCAACCCAGCAAAAAAGAAAGAAGGGCUGUGGUCAAAACCUCUUCCAGAUAUUCCAAAGAACUCAUUAUUAUGAUGCAAACCCGUAUUUAUGUUUGCAUAAUAGCAGCAAUGGAUCAUGUCAGAUGAAAGAAAAUUUCUGGUCACAUUUCAUUGCACCAGAAGCUUGCAAUAUCAGCCGAGUAUCACAACAGACCAUAUAGAAUUUUCAGGCAAAUAAAUUACACAAUUGACAAAGGUACAAUUGUGUUGUUCACACUCUGCAGUGAAUCAGUAUAUACUGAGUGUCUGAGUCAUACUAGUUAACAAACAAGGCAUCCAACAAAAGUUUACAAGAUCAGAGGGGUCAAUGCUAUCCAGAUUCCAGCAUGUCCACAUUAUUAAGAUGACAAAUGCACAAUUGAACUUCUGACUCACUCUGAUCCCCGAAAGAUGAUUCAUGAAAGACACCAUACACCUCUAUACCCAAACACUAUCUCAGAAACGCUUUUAUCCAUCAUGUUAAUGCUAAAAAAGGGCAUCCACCUAAGCACGAAUCAGCAUUGACAUUUCAUGAGUCUUAUGUAAAAAAGAACUAGCAAGGAAUGAGUUGGUAAAACAGAACACAAUUACUGAAAUACAUAACUACUCAAAAAUCAUCUAUAGAACUGCUAAAUAUUGAAAGUUUGGUUCAUUCGAUGAUUAAGGCACUUUAGAAGCCAUGAACUGGACCUAUUACAAGUACCAACUACCCAUAUCAUAUCAGCAAAUGGAACUCUGAAAGAGGGUAUAGUAACUCAUCACCCAUACAACCUUGACAGAGAUGUUACUCAUUGACAUAACCAUCCUUCCGCCCCUCAAACCCAGGGCGCAUAAGUUUUUUCUCGCGCUUCUCAAUCUUGCGCAUCUUCUUCUGGUGUGCCCGAUCCCGGAUGUUCUCUGUCCUUUUCUUCUGCUUCUCCUUCUUCUGCUUGUCCACAGUCUUCUGCCUCUCCUUCCACUGUGCAGCAUGCUUCUGCUGCCGUUUUUCCUCCUUCUUCAAGCUCUCCUUAAUCAGCUUGGGGUCAUCAUGCACCUUCUCCCCAGCAGCACGUCUUCUGGCUGUAUCCCAAGCAAUCUUGCUUGCCUUCUCAGGAUCCUUCUUAGCCUCUUGCAACCGUUUAGCCUGCUCCAGCGCCUUCUUCUUGUUCUUAACCCUCCUCUUCUUCCUGCGCCUUGCUUCCUUUGGGUCAACAAACACAUUCGCGUACAUGAUAUCUUGCUUCUCCUCAGCCCCCUUCUUGACCUUCUUCCCAUCCUUGCCAUCCCCAUCUUCGGUGUCAUCGUCACGCUUACGCUUCUUGCCCUCACCUUUCCCCUUCUUUUCAUUCUUCGCCUUUGACUUCUUCCCCUUCUCCUUCUUGGGCUUAUUCAAGAACUCAGGCCUGGUGCACCGGUUGCCUCGAAGCUCAGCAAUGCGGCGUUGAAGGCGUUCUUUCAGCUCCUCAUAAGUCACCGAACGGUCCUCGGACACCACUGCCGCCGGAGCAAUCUCCAUCUCAUCCUCCUCCACUCCGUCUUCCGCAUCACCAUCGUCCUCGGAGCUUGCCUCCUCCCCAGAUUCCUCGCUCUCUUCUCCUGACUUCUCCUCCUGAUCCUCCUCCUCUUCCUCCGCCGCCUGGCCGGCGACGGACUUCUUGAGGAGGUCGAGGGUGGAGGCGGGCGGCGCGGAGGGGUCGAGGCGUGCGCGGCGGGCGGCCUUGACGUUGGCGCGGGACUUGGCCUUCAUGGCCGCCUUGGCGGCCUUGGACAGGCCCUGGUACCACGGGCGGUCCUCGUCGCCGGACGGGAGAUAAAAGCGCGGCGGGAUGAGCUGCACGAGGGCGUCGAAGAAGAGGGCAUGCCCGUGGAUGCCACCGCAGUCGGCCGCGGCCAGGAGGUCGGCGGGCAUGGUGGCCGCGAGGGAUUCGUGGUCGAUCGCCGCGGCGGCGGCGGAGGGUUUCCUGCCCAUGGCAGCGAGUGUUGGGGAGGAGGGUUUCGGCGAGAGAGGGGAGGAAUUGGCGUGCGCGUGGCGGCGUGGGCGGGUUUCUAAUCUGAAGAUAGUUAGGUCUUGGGUUUUCUUGGGCUAAGUGGGCUUACGAGCCCGGUGAAUAUGUGAGAAUGCGAUGCUCUUGCUGCUGUGGGCUUUCGCUUUACUAUCUGGUUUGUGGCUACGUGAUUUCAGCCUCGGGCCAUGCCUGUAGCCCGCUAAGGCCCAAAUCCACCCCUGCAACCUUAAUUCUUCUUUUUAAAAGAAAUUGCAACCUGAAUUUAAGAAAUGAAGGAUAGGGAAGUAAUAAUGAGAUGUGAGUUAAACCCUCUCCUUUAUUUGGCUUUAGGCCCUGUUUAGAUUCAAUUUUUUUUCUCAAAGUGAUAAAAAUUUUUGUUGUCAGACUUUGAGCUCAGAAAUCUGACACAGACAAAAAAAUUUAGGUGUUUAGUUGGUUAAAUUUUUUUCUGACACAUUCUGGACUGCAUGCACAGCUGUAAGGGCAUUAAAUGAUCACUUUGCAAAAGCAUGCACAUGCAAACGUUGCUUUGCAUGCUGCAUGGCUGCACUGUUUACCUGUACAUCCAUUCUUCACUUAACAGGAAAUAACACACGCAUAUAUAUAAACAUCAUCAAUUGUAUUUAAUCACAAUCACUCAGCCCUAUUAUUCACCACUAUCCCUGUCACUAUUUUAUAACGAUUACAACUCUUAUUCACACAUCCACACUCGGUCCUCAACCCAGGACGAACAUAAUAAGCAAAGUUCGAUCAAAACUGUUCAUGCGGACAAAACCAUUCAAUCAGAAGUGCACAAAGCAGUAGCGAUUGAAUCACGAAAGUGAUUCAUCUGAUCCAUCUCGUCCUCCACAACCUCAGGUUCUGGCUGAAAUUCGAAUGCCUCUGGUGGCACAUAGUUUGCAUCCCUAUUAAGCUGCUCAAAGUGUCUGUCAUGGACUCCACUAGUCCUCAUGAAAUUGUGUAGUGCCAUACAAGAGACUAUAAUCAUACUUUGCUUUACUGUUGAGUAUGGGGGAAUGUCACGCAGCAUACGCCACUUCAUUUUCAUUACGCCAAAUGCCCUCUCAACGACAUUCCUAAGAGAUGAAUGCGUAAAGUUGAAGAUUUCUUCUUUACCUUGAGGGCCGACGGUUCUAUACUCUUGCAUAUGGUACUUAGUGCCCUUGUAUGGGGCUAGAUAACCGACACGGUUUGGGUAUCCGGAGUCAACAAGAUAGUAUUUGCCUGUACGUAGAUUAUCAUAUCUAUGAUCACAAUCAUGCCUAAUGAGAUAACAUGGAUGAACAUGCGACCUAACAAGAAUGUACCUAGAGGUGGAUGAGGGAAUUGAUCAGAGAAUGUUGAUGUUGCAUCAUUGAAUACCCUCAUAUCAUGAGCAGACCCAGGCCAUCCAGCAAGGACAAAACUGAACCUCAUGUCAAAGUCACACACAGCCAAGACAUUCUGAGUUGUUCUACCCUUGCGGUUCAAGUACUGGAUAAACAUAUUACUAGGCACAAUCAUUGGUAUGUGGGUUCCAUCUAUUGCCCCUAUGCAGUCUUUGAAGUGUGGAUAGAACCUAGGGCUCCUAAGUCUCUCAUGCAUAGUACUGAAUGUAGGGUCAACAGGUUUUAGGAUGUUAGCAGCCAACCUAUCCAUACAUACCAACACUUUGUUGAAUAGCCUAGAGAUAGUACCCAUAGACCUCUCAAAUCUUUCUUUAGCUUGCCUAACACUUUGACAGUCACCCAGCAUCCAUAAGAAGAUUCCUAGAGCUUCUAAAGAGGUUGAUUUCCUACUGGAUUUGAGGCCAUAGGUUUGUGUCAGGACUUCAUGCAGUUUGUGAAACAUUUCAGGGUUCAUUCUAAACAUGGUGUAGCACCUCUCAGGGUCACGGAGAUUAUCCAUGACCCACUCUAGUCCAGGCAACUUAGGGAUCCUAUAAGGGCGUCUAUUCAAAUACUUAUCAAUAUGAAGGGCUUGUUCUAACAUACCACUGCUUUGAACUGCACGACUAGACAUGAGCUCAAUCAGUAUCAUGUUUUCAAUGGCCUCGUCGAAUUCAUCGCUUAGAUCCGAACUGUGGUCAUCAUCUUCUGGUUCAGCAUCACUGAUCACUUCAAGGUCUUCACUACCCUGUGAAAUCACAUAAUCUGGUCAGCCCCCUUUCUCAAAUGAUAUGAUGUCCCAAACCAUCCACCCAAAUAGAUUCACAUAGCUCGAUGGCCAUGCAACAGAACAUUGAAAUUCAACAAUAAGCUAAAUGGUAGUGCAAAAGGUUCAGAUAACAAUUUCCUGCAAAAGAUCCUAAGUCAACCCCAAAGUGACGCCGCAUGAUGGGAAUUAGUUCACAAAGAUGAUGAUGCCAAAGGUUCCCUAAACCCUAAACCAAACCAAAUAAAUAACACAAAAGCUACCAGCAUUAAGACUAACUUCAUGAACUACAAUUAAGCAGGGGUACUAGUCAUCCACCGGGAGGUUUUCGUUGAUGAUGAUCCACCUGGCCUCAUCGUCCUUGCAAGAUAGGAAGAUGGCCAGUUCAACCUCACUGUGGCAGAUCUUCCUGAUGGCAAGGAAGGACGUCUUGGUAUGUGCAGAUAUUCCCAUACCCAGUGCAAUGUCAUACGCCUUCUCGACCUUCUCUUCCUUUGACAAAGAUGAACGUUUAUGCUGGUGCCGCUCAUUUCUCUUGUGUUGCAUCUCUAGGAUGGAACCAAACAAGUUAACCUUCUGCCUCUCAAUGUCAUUGGCUUCACACUGAUGAGUCUCCCACGACCUAGCAGUGGAGCUCUUAGUCUUCUUGCUAGGGCUGGAGACAGAAGGACUGCUGCUAGAAGGCCUCUUUCUUCCUUGGCUUCCAGGUGUUCUAUAUCCUUGGCUUCCAGGUGUGCCAUACCCUUGGCUUCCAGGUGCUUGAACAUCUUGUUGUUCAUCAUGCUGCGCCUCGUCAUCGGAAUCAUCUAAGGGGAUGGCACCAGUCUCUGCACCAGUACCAGGCCUGUAUGCAGUUGAGCCAUCAACUGUCCAUCCUUCAAAUAUGUCAUCAAGCUGACCAAUGUAGUCAGGCAUUCCUUGAUCCCUUAUCUUCAUCAAUGCCUUCUUCCCCUAGAACAACAAUCAUAUUCUUGUAAGACUGCAAGCAUAGUCUUCUAUUAUAAACCUAAAUUAAUUGGAGAGUACCUUCGUCUCCCUCUCCCACCAAGCAUCAUCAGCUUCAAUUGUGUUGCCACUACCUCCCAGGCCAGAAGCCUUGCGCAGAGCCUUGCAUAUCCUCCACUCAGCCUUCAGAUCUUGUAGCUUACUACUAAACUGGUCCUUCUCGUGAACUAACCCAGUAGCCAAGAAGUACCUAUGUUUGAUGUCUCUCCACCCAGCAACGCUCAUGACUCCAUUGUUGUAGUUGCCAUUUUUAAUUUGAGCGUGGUACACGUCAAUAAAUACGCGGAGUCGCGCCGGAUCCCAACUACCUUUGUGUUUUAAAACCUAGACCAGAGAACUACUUCAGGUGCAACAAUAGCGCAGAAAAGAAUAGAAGAACCCAGAUUCGCAAUACAAAGAACAAUAACACUAAAACUGGCAUGACAAUCUACACUAUAACAUGCAUGACAUUGUACACAAUAAUAGAAUAAGUACAGUAAAGCAUUCAUGACAAUUUACACGACAACAAAAAAAAAGAAAUGCAAGAUUUUUACCGGAUAUCGGAAGCCGUCCGUGCCGGGGAGGACUUCUUCUCCUCCUGGCCUUGCUCCCCGGGAACGGGCAGCACGACCCAUGCGUGGGCUACCCGCUCCAACAGCUGACCUUCGACCACUGGAACCGCCGGGAACGAAAGUCAUCCCCGGCGCCGCUGGAGGCUCGAAGUGGCCGUAUCCGCCCGGGGAAGAAACGCCUCCCCCAGAUCCGCUAGGGAGCCAGGGGAUCCGGGACGAAGACGGUUGAAAAGGGCGGCCAUCGGGGAGUGGGGAGUCAACGCGGCGAGGAGGGUUGAAACUCAAUGAACGGGAAGCGGAUCGAGGGGGAACGGGCUGACCUAACCCCAUUGGAGUCCAGUCCGAGCCGUAGUUGAUGUCCAGAGAGGCAAGCCGCGGGUUAAGGAAGCUGCUGCUGCCGGCGCCGUCGUUCGUCAACGGCGGAUCUUGGGGGGCGUCUGGCAUGGCGGCAUCAUGGACGCCGAACACCUCUUCGUCGGCGUAGUGACCACCGGUGAAGCAGUCGCCGUGGGAUCCGUCCAUGGAUUCGGAGGAUGUGGCCGAGAAGCGGGGCGGCGGCGUGGAUUGGGCGGCUAGGGUUUGUUCGCGGGGGAGACGGGAGGAUGGCGAGACGGGAGGAGACGGGACGAAUGCGGCUAGGGUUUGAGGGAGGAUGCGGAAAUGAGGGGGCCGCUGGCGGAUCGGGAUUAAAAGGCGGAUUGGUGGGCUCUGCUUGGGAGUGAGUGCACAGUUCCAGGCCUUGCAGGCCAAAAUUUUAGCCCAAAAAUUUUUGGACCCUGUUUAGUUCCCAAGUCCAAAAUUCACAAAAUUUUUGCUGUUUGGGCCAAAAAUUUUCAUAUCUAAACAGGGCCUUAUUUAUAGGUCCAAUUUGCAUAGCAGAAGGGAAUUGGUUGUUGUGGGUUGUUGUGGCUGGGGCUAAAACAUUAUUUCCCUCUCUUUUUUUUUUAGGCAUUCUUUCCCUAUCCUUUGUUGAUAUGUGGAAUGCAUUUGAGCUGGGGAUUUAUAGUUUUAUGACCAUCCAGGCUUUGGGAUAAGAGGACAAACUUCUGUCUCACAGUUUUAAACCGAGGAUGAGGGGGACAAAUAUUAUAAGAUACGUGCAACAUUACCAUACUGCACUUGGUUAUAUUACCUUUUGAACGUUGAUAUUUCAGCGUACCAAACAAAAGGGAUUGGGAUGUCCACCUCUGUUUUGAUUUGGUUUUCAUUUUUCAAACCACGUCGCAUCCAAAACUGCCUGAGGUUUUGUUUUUAGUCGGCAUACUUAUCCUUUUUUGAUACCAAAUCAUCUUUACUCUUUUUCUUAGAAACCAAACAUUUUCUAAGUUUGAUCAUUCUAUAUAAAAUAAUAAUAUUUAUAAUAUCAACAUUCAGUUAAUUAUAAAAUAUAUUUUUAUAGUAUAUCCCUUUAGACUAAAGAAUAUUAAUAACAUUUUCUAUAAAAAUUUUCUAAAAAGUUAGACUCAAUUCAAACCCAGUAUCACAACUUUUGGUGACAUAGACAGGAUACGUUCACUAACAAUAGAUUUGAGUCAUACAGGAGCUUAGCAACAAACAUCCAUAAACACUGCUAAGUUGAUGUGUUAUGAACUUAACCACGCUUGUUAGAGCAACUAUACGUAGGUUUAGAGCUUGUUCACUUAAGCUUAUCUGCCGAAUCAGCCAGACAUUCAGCAAUAUUUUUCUCUUAUAACAAAUUAAUAAUUAUUAUCUAUGAUCACAACCUCUGAUUUCCCACUUCCGCUAUUUUUAAGUGCUACCGUCACUUAUAACACUAUUAGUAUACUGCAAAGAAAAUAGUCCGAUACACAAAUAGAUUUUGAACCCUUUUGAAGGCAAUAUGUCCUUAAGAGCAAGUUUAAUAAUACAGCCUAUUUGCUAGCUGUAAGGUUCUGUACAACCUUUUCUCAGCCUACUCAUACAAUAGUUAGCUAUUCACUAUUAAUAUAUGACCUACUUAUCUCUCUUACAAAGUUUUUUGGUUCUUGUGUGUAAGCUGGCUGUAAGCUUACAGCCUGCUUCUUCUCUCUCCUCUCUUUUCACCUCCACAUCAGCAUUUAGCGAGCUUACAACCCACCAUAAUACUUGCUCUGACAAUACAACGGCGGAAGCCUGAAGAAGCUUCCUAUACGGCAUAUAUGUAGCUUGGGCAGCGUCUCUUGUCCCUCCAAAUUGGACUUUAAGUUGAUCGAUGAAAUGGAAAUUAAACGUACUACAAAACAGAUUGAAAAUUUUUUUAAUGAUAUUCGUAUAGUAGUGUAGCAACCUUUUUAUAAUUGGGCCUUGUUUAGUUCCAAAAAAUUUUACAAAAUAGAAAUAGUACCACUUUCGUUUGUAUUUGACAAAUAUUAUCCAAACAUAUACUACCUAGACUCAAAAGAUUCGUCUCGUCAAUUUUGACCAAACUGUGCAAUUAGUUUUUAUUUUCGUCUAUAUUUAAUACUUCAUGUAUGCGUUUAAAGAUUUGAUGUGACGGAGAAUCUGAAAAAUUUUGCAAAAUUUUCUGGAAAGUAAGGCCUUGUUUAGUUCCCAAAAACUUUUGCAAAAUUUUUCAGAUUCCCCGUCACAUCGAAUCUUUAGACAUAUGCAUGAAGUACUAAAUAUAGAUAAAAAUGAAAACUAAUUGCACAGUUUGGUCGGAAUUGACGAGACAAAUCUUUUGAGCCUAGUUAGUCUAUGAUUAGAUAAUAUUUGUCUAAUACAAACGAAAAAGCUACAGUGUUCAUUUUGCAAAAUAUUUUGGAACUAAACAAGGCCUAAGGCCUUGUUCUUAUGGCGCCACUGAAUUCAUAUACCCUCGGCGCGCGGGCGUCGUCCUCCCCAGGACGCGACGCGACUAGCCAGUCUCGCCGCUUGCGCGAAACGAGAAGCCGGUGGGCUACGACCGCAACCGCAAGGCAUCGAUGGCUCGAUCCCUUUCGACUUUCGAGGCGAAUGGCGACGCAUGGAAGAUCUCAGGGCUUGUUUAGUUCGCAAAAUUUUUCAAGAUUCUCCGUCACAUCGAAUCUUGCGGCACAUGUAUAGAGCAUUAAAUAUACAUAAAAACAAAAACUAUUUGCACAGUUCAUCUGUAAACCGCGAGAUGAAUCUUUUAAACCUAGUUACUCUAUAAUUGGACAAUGUUUGUCAAAUAAAAACGAAAAUGCUACAGUACCGUUUUUCACAACUUUUUGCGAACUGAACAAGGCCUCACAUUCCCGUGCAUAGCAUAGCUGCGGCAAGCAAGUUGAAACAGAAAGGCAUUAUCAUCAAGCAACUUGCAAUUCUCUCUCGAGAUAUUCUCUCCUCGUUUGUACUAGGGGGCACGUACAUCAAGGAUAUAAAAAAAAUCGGAAAAAAGAACUUGUGUGUCGCUCCGAACCCAGCAGACCUUGUUUGUCAGUUCAUCUAAGGCCACGUUUAGAUUGGGGAUAAAAAUUUUCUGGGUGUCACAUCGGAUAUGUCGAAAAAAUGUUGGGAGAGAUUUUUAGAAACUAAUAAAAAAAACAAAUUACAUAGCUUGUCAGGAAACUGCAAGACAAAUUUAUUAAGCAUAAUUAAUCUGUCAUUAGCAUACGUGGGUUACUGUAGCACUUAAGGUUAAUCAUAGAGUUUCUAGGCUUAAAAGAUUCGUCUCGCGAUUCUCAACUAAACUGUGUAAUUAGUUCAUUUUUUUUAUCUACAUUUAAUGUUCCAUGCAUGUGUCCAAAGAUUCGAUGGGAUGGAUGAAAAAAUUUUAAGUGGGGAACUAAACAGGGCCUAAAAAUUAAAAACUUCUCACGGUUCCUCAUCACAUCAAAUCAUGUGAUAUAUAUAUAUAUAUAUAUAUAUAUAUAUAUAUAUAUAUAUAUAUAUAUAUAUAUGAAUCAUUAAAUAUAGAUGAAAAUAAAAACUAAUUGUACAAUUUGUCUGUAAAUCGCGAGAUAAAUUUUUUAACUCUAGUUACUCUAUAAUUAGACAUAUUUAUAAAAUAAAAACAAAAAUACUAUAGUGUCAAAAUCAACUUUUCGGAUGUAAACAAGACUCCCAAAACGCGUCUUGAUACAGGCGAUCUGACCGACCGUGCGCUGCGGAUAGCAGGCAAAAAAAAAAAAAGAGAGAUAAACCUCGUGUAAGGCUUUGUUUAGUUAAAAAAAUUUUAGUUUUGGUUAUUAUAGUAUUUUCGUUUAUAUUUAACGAAUUUUAUUUAAUCAUAGAUUAAUUAGGCUUAAAAGAUUUAUCUUAUAAAUUACGAGCAAACUAUACAAGUAGAUUUUAUUUUUAUUUAUAUUUAAUACUUAAUACAUGCGUUCAAAGAUUCGAUACGAAAAAUCUUAUGCGUUUAAAGAUUCGAUACAAAAAAUCUUAAAAAAAUUUAGGAAAUUUUGGAACCCGUCAUUUCGAAUCUUUGGUUGUAUGCAUGGAGCAUUAAAUAUAAAUAUAAAUAAAAACUAAUUGUACAGUUUAACUGUAAUUUGUGAGAUGAAUCUUUUGAGCCUAGUUACUUUUUAAUUGGACAAUGUUUGUCAAAUAAAAACGAAAGUGCUACAAUAACUAAAACUCUAAAAUUUUGCGAACUAAACAAGCCCUGAACGAGGCCGUGAUCGAGCGGUCGCCUCCUGGUGCGUGCGUGAUGCGUGAAAGGAACACGAACCGGGGGGAUCGGUCCCGCUCUUGCCGUGGCGUGCCGUGUCAUCAGAUUCGGACAUCCACCUGAUGUGCUCUCUCUUCUCCUGCAAGCUACUCGCACUACUAGGUUUGCUAAUCCCAGUCAGGAGAGCGGGACGGGGACGCCGACGGUGACGGCCAUCGAUUAAUAAGGUAUAACUUUCAUCACAUCAAAUAUUUAGAUACAUACAUAAAAUACUAAAUAUAAACCAUUUAUAAAACAAAAUCAUAGCUAGAGAGUAAUAAUUUAUAAUACAAAUCUUUUCAGCUUAAUUAAAAAUAAUUAAAUAUUAAUUAUUAAAUAAAACAAAAAAUACUAUAAUAUAUAUUAAACUUUAAAAUCCUCCACUAAACACCCAAUAAAUUUGUCAAUAAUGCACGCGGCGCGGCGCGAAUCCAAUCCGCCGUCUCACUCUCUCCCGAUCGAACCAGCAGGGCUAGCGUCCCUUUUCACGUGAGAUCGCUAUCAGGAGGAACAGCGUAGCAUGCCGUAGCGCUAGCGCCCGUGGCCCGUGGGGCGACCGCACCGCUGCCGCCGCCGCCGCCGCCGCCUAACCCAAUCGCCAUCACAUGCGGAGGCGAGCUAGCUGUCGCCUGACGCCGGAGUGACAUGCAUUCACGGAUCACGGGACACACUCACAGCGAAACGAACUCGCUGCCGCGACGACGCCGUCCGCCCCGGUAGAGCUCAUCCGCGUUGCGGACACUACGAUGUGGCCCAUAGACCAUAGUAUAGGUCCACGUUGGCCCCAUGCCCUGACAGGCCGCCUGCCUACCCGGCUGAUCCACGUCGAAAGAUGCGAAGAUAUUGCUCCGAGGCGAUAUAAGGCUAUCUCCAACGAACUCAAACUUAAAAUAGGUCUCCAAUACAAUACCUAUAGCCUCCAACAGAGUAUCAUACAGAAGACCUAUUUUGGGUAUCAGGAGAGGCAUAACUCAAAUUUGGGUAUCCUCUCUCCUCGAGACCCAUUUACAGAGAGUGUUGUCUUUUAAAUCUUGUUGUUGGAGAAGACUAAAAAUAGGUAUGGAACCUUUUACCUGUAGCGCUACCCAAAAGACAAAUGAGUCUUGUAUUUUGGAUGACGAUUGUUGGAGAUACACCAAAAACUAAAAAGUUUUUAAAAUUCUACAUCAUUUCAAAUCUUGUGACACAUAAAUAAAACAUUAAAUAUAGAUAAAAUUAAAAACUAAUUACACAGUUUAACUAUAAAUUAUGAGACAAAUCUUUUAAUCCUAGUUAAUCUAUGAUUGGACAAUAUUUAUCAUAAAUAAACAAAAAUACUAUAAUAGCGAAAUUAAAAAAAAAUCACAUCUAAACUAGACGUAGGUUUCGUUCGGCUUCCUUCGGCAUCUCAUUCAUCAUCAGGAGACAAAAAAAAAUGAAAAUAAUAAAAAAAAUGCCGUGCCAUGCCUUCGCCAUCGCCAGUGCGUUUCUAUAUCGACUAGACGGGGCAGUGACAACUGACAAGCUCACAAUGAUUGCCAGCAGGAAAAUAGGACAAAAGAGAAGAGAUACAAGUGCUUUGGAGUUCCAUAAAAAAAGGGAUUUAAUUUUUUGGACUGAUAAUGCAAACAAGAUAAAGGGAUAAGGGAUAAGGCCUUGCUUACUUCGUUCCAAAAACCAAAAAAUUUUUAAGAUUCUCCAUCACAUCGAAUCUUGCGGCAAAUGCAUAAAGCAUUAAAUAUAAACGAAAAUAAAAAACUAAUUACACAGUUUGUCUGUAAAUCACGAGAUGAAUCUUUUGAUCCUAGUUAGUCUAUAAUUAAACAAUAUUUGUCACAAACAAACAAAAAUGCUACGAUAGCGAAAUCAAAAAAGUUUUCACACGAGGCCUAACGCAAGUGCUAACACGCUGCCGAAGUGCUUGUCCGCUUCGAGAACAGCAUUUCCCAGUACUACUACUUUAUUAUUCGAGCCGGUCCACAACCGGGGAUCAGGCCUUUUAUCACGUUAAAUUUUUAGAUGUAUGUAUAAAACACUAAAUAUAGAUAUAAAAAGUAACUAAUAUAUAGUUCAUCUGUAAUUUGUGAGAUAAAAUAUUUAAGUCUAAUUAGUCCUAAUUAGAUCAAAAUUGUUAAAUACAAACAAAAGUGCUACAGUAUCUAAAAACUAAAAAAAUUUGCCAACUAAACAAGGCCUCACUCGUAUAAUCGAGACUAAAAGAUAGUUCCAUUAAUAAUCAUCAAGUAAGGCCUUGUUAUUUGUUGGGGUGAAAUUUUUUUAGAUACUAUAGUAUUUUUUUUGUAUUUGGUAAUUAUUAGUUAAUUAUGAAUAAUUAGAAUUAAAAAUUUUGUCUCGUAAAUUACAGAUAAACUGUACAAUUAGUUAUUAUUUUAUAUCUAUAUUUAAUGCUCACAAGAUUCAACAAAUGAUUUUUUUCAAAAAAAAGUUUUUAUUUUUUUGAUAAAAAAAUAGUUUUUAGGGGGAAGCCUAAAUACCAAGGUCGCCAUAACGGAACGGUCAAUAGUCAAACCACGUCCAUACUACUUCCCACAGCCCCCCGCACAGGACUGUUCCGCCGCCGUCCGAUGGGAUCCGACGGUCACCAUCUAACCUCUGCACAAGGACCCCACACCCGCACCGCUGCUGGCUCUGCUCCAAUAAAUUUCGAACACGUAGUGCUCCUGCUGCCACAGGCCCACAGCGCAUCGUCACCCUGUCCCUCUGUUUUUCCUCUUCUUUUCUCUCGGAAGUCCCAGCCCGGCAGGCAGUCACCACUCCAAAAGGCGGGCACCAAACACCAACCCGAGCACGAGCGCGGAGCGCCCAACCAAAUGGCGCCGCACACCACCGCGGCGGGAGGCGGGGGCGGGGGCGAGGAGGAGGUGUCGGAGGCGGCGGCCGCAUCCCCAGCCGCGCUGCGGCACCGCCACGCGGGCGGCAAGGGCGACGGCGACGGCGACGGGCUGGGCGGCAAUGGCGGCGGCGCUGGGGCCGACGGCGGCGGCCAGGCGGCGGCGUCCGUGGAGCGGGUGUUCGCGGACAAGGCGUUGCCGUCGUGGCGGGAGCAGCUGACGCUGCGGGCGUUCGUCGUCAGCGCGCUGCUCGCCGUCAUGUUCAGCGUCAUCGUCAUGAAGCUCAACCUCACCACGGGGAUCAUCCCUUCCCUCAACGUCUCCGCGGGGCUGCUCGGCUUCUUCUUCGUCCGCAUGUGGACCGCCGCCGUCGAGCGGAUGGGAUUCCUCCGCCAGCCCUUCACCAGGCAGGAGAACACCGUCAUCCAGACCUGCGUCGUCUCCGCCUACGGCAUCGCCUUCAGCGGUCGGUAACCAACCACCAGACCCCCUCCCCUCCCGUCCCGAACUAUGUAUGCUUCGCUAGUACUACUAGUGUAUACUAAUUCGUAAUUUCCUGUCAACGCCGUUGUCUGCUUGAGUUGAGAGGAAAUUGUGGUGAUCGUGCUCUUGGGAGCGGUUGUUGCGUCGAUUUCAUGCUCGCCUUCGUAUGAAUUGCCGAUGUGCCGAUCGAAUUGUAUGAGCCGCUGAUGUGUCGUUCGAAUUGGUUGAACGAACAGUGGAUUGUUUGGUUUGUCUAUAGUGGCUUUUGGGUGUGGGAGUAGUCUGAGUGUAUGACGCAGAUACAGAGAGUCACAGGGUGGCACAGCGUUCGCUGUAGUUGGUAAGCCUGAAACGUCAGGGAAUCGAUUGUUCUUUUGCCCCAAAGGAAAACACCAACCAAUCGCUUUCAGUAGCGACUCGAAAAUAGCGUUCUCGGCAAAAUAAACGAUUGGUAAAGGACCAAAAAUUUCUUGGUCGUUUCGGACUUCUUGUCCACUGCAUCACCGUUAGGUGGACUCCACGGUGAUUAUGUGGUCUCAGGGAGUGCAUGAUUGAUAGCCAUAGGAUAAUCACCUAUUUUUCAAUGGAAGGCCUAGAGGGCUAGUGAUGAAAUUGGCGAAAGUUUGUGGUUGCUUCUUGUGCUGAAUAAACAUGUAAAAAGUCAACAAAAAAAAUUUCAAAUAUUUGGCGCUCAUAAUUAGGUGAUGAGCCUGCUUGGGUUGACUCCUCCCCUUAAAAUAGAGGCAUGGUACAUGAAGUACAUGCGCUGUUUUUUUUUCCUUUGGCAGACAUGACACAUGCAUCUGAAGCAUUGGUCGAACAUAAAUAACUAUUUAUGAUCUGCAGGCUUAUUUGUGAACCAUGUUAUUUGGUGCGUUGAUGCCCAAUCUAUCAUGUGCAACCACUGGACUUGCAGGCUGAAAUAAUUUGAAAUUGCAUAACAAAAUGGCCCAUACGCAUACGCAUAGGUCAGUCAGCUGGAAUUAAGAAACUACUCUUAUCAGCAAGUUUAAAUUUGCAUAUGUCCUCCACUGCAGAACUGCAAAUCUGCAACAAUGCUUUCAGGAAAUGAGUGAUUAUCUGUGUUUUGAAGUGUUCAUAGUGUGAUCAGAUCAUUUAAGGCGAGAGACAAGUAGCAUGUUUUGGUGCCUUAUCUGUUGAAAUGAAAUAAGUAAUCAAAACAUUGUUUUUCCUGUUCAAGAGUGUGACUAACAUCACUGCAUCAGCUAAGUAUGUUGAGUUGAAGCCAACCAAAAAUAUGCAAAAUGACUUAUAGUCUUCUAUUCAAAUUAAUCAGGUGGCUUUGGCAGCUAUCUAUUUGGAAUGAGUGACAAAAUAGCUAAUCAAGCAACAGAGGCUAAAGAUGCUAAUAACAUAAAGGAUCCUCACCUUGGAUGGAUGAUAGGGUUCCUAUUCCUUGUCAGUUUUAUUGGUCUCUUUGCGCUUGUGCCCCUAAGAAAGGUAUGUCUCCAACUCUUUUGUCCAUUAUGUUCUUACUGAUUUACUGUAUGGAAGCAAACUUGUUCUUAUCAGCUUAAUUUUGUUUCAGAUUAUGAUUGUUGACUACAAGCUGACCUAUCCAAGUGGCACAGCCACUGCAUAUCUCAUCAACGGUUUUCACACACCUGAGGGAGCCAAGCUUGCAAAGUAUGUCUAUACAGUUCUGCUUUUGGCUACUUUGACCUUGUGAAAACUGUAUCCAUUAUUUUCACCACCUGGUCCAUCUUGUGCAACUCCACUUACAAUGAUAAUAAUAUAUUUCAGGAAGCAAGUAAAGACGUUGGGCAAGUACUUCGUGUUCAGCUUUUUCUGGGGCCUUUUUCAGUGGUUCUACACUGCAGGGGAUGAGUGUGGAUUCAAAAAUUUCCCAACAUUGGGCCUUGAAGCUUAUAACAAUAGGUCAGAACUGUGACACUAUCCUAGAUAUGACACUUGCUGAGUAGAAUGUUCAAUAUCUGGAAUAGUUUAUACAUCUUCCAUCUGGUAAAACAAUGAGAGCUUGCAAAUUCAUUUGUGCCAUCUCUUGUUAUGCUGCACAAGUAAAACAGCAGUUAUUUAUGCCAAGCAUCUGAAGUUUUGCUUAGUAUUUUCAAUUGGCUAGGCGCCAAUUCAGAGGUAUUGGUCUCUGAUGCUAAACUUGGCUUAUUGUCUUUCAGGUUCUACUUUGACUUCUCUCCUACGUACGUUGGAGUUGGCAUGAUCUGCCCGUACAUCGUUAAUGUGUCUGUUCUACUGGGUGGUAUUCUCUCAUGGGGUGUAAUGUGGCCUCUCAUUGCCAAGAAGAAGGGGAGUUGGUACCCGGCUAACCUCGAAGACUCAAGUCUACAUGGGCUGCAGGCUUACAGGGUAAACAUCAAUCCUACUUUUGGCUGUUCUGUUCUCUUUUCCCAAAGCUAUACCAUUCAGCUUCAUCACAUGAGAACAUUAGUUUUGUGACGAAGAGUUCAACUGCUAGUUCCUUGCAAUUGCAGGUUUUCAUUUCCAUUGCUUUGAUCCUUGGGGAUGGUUUAUACAACUUCAUUAAGGUGCUGAUCCGCACAAUUGCGGGCUUCAUAUCAAUGGUGCAGCAAAAUUCAAAAAUCAUGCUUCCUGUUUCAGACAAUGGCAGUUCCAUGUCCAGUACCGAAGCUGUAUCCUUUGACGAUGAACGUCGCAUUGAGAUUUUUCUGAAAGAUCAAAUUCCCAAGUCAGUUGCAUAUGGGGGCUAUGUUGCAGUUGCCGCAAUAUCUAUCGGCACCCUUCCUCAGAUCUUCCCGCAGCUUAAGUGGUACUACAUUUUGGUUGCCUAUGUCGUGGCACCUGUCCUGGCCUUCUGCAACGCUUAUGGAAGUGGCCUCACUGAUUGGUCUCUCGCCUCCACCUACGGCAAGCUCGCCAUCUUCGUGUUCGGUGCAUGGGCCGGGCUCUCGCAAGGUGGCGUGCUCGUUGGGCUCGCUGCUUGUGGUGUCAUGAUGAGCAUCGUGUCGACCGCCUCAGACCUGAUGCAAGACUUCAAGACUGGGUACCUGACACUGGCGUCACCGAGGUCUAUGUUCAUCAGCCAGGUGAUCGGCACCGGGAUGGGGUGUGUUAUCGGCCCCUGCGUCUUCUGGCUCUUCUACAAGGCGUUCGGUGACAUUGGCGAGAGUGGCACCGAGUACCCGGCACCCUACGCCAUCGUGUACCGCAACAUGGCCAUCCUCGGCGUGGAUGGCUUCCGCUCCCUCCCGGAAAACUGCCUCACCCUCUGCUACAUUUUCUUUGCGGCAGCGAUCGUCAUCAACCUUGUGAGGGACCUGACCCCACAGAGGGUGUCGAGGUUCAUCCCGCUGCCAAUGGCGAUGGCAAUCCCGUUCUACAUCGGAUCCUACUUCGCCAUCGACAUGUUUCUGGGCUGCGUGAUCCUCUUCGUGUGGGAGCAGCUGAACAAGGCGAAAGCGGACGCGUUUGGACCUGCGGUCGCGUCGGGACUGAUCUGCGGAGAUGGCAUCUGGACCCUGCCGCAGUCCAUUCUGGCCCUCGCCAAGGUGCAGCCUCCCAUUUGCAUGAAGUUUUUGUCCAGAUCGACCAAUGCCAAGGUGGACAGCUUCCUCGGGUUGUCAUGAUUUUACAUAGAAUGGCAAGUAGGCACGCCUUCAUCCUGUAAUUAUUGGUGUAAAAUGUAGAAGAGAAGAGGUUUGCUGUGGAGUGAUCAAAGCUUUGUCCGUGUAGUCUGUAAGAGGAAAGGCUUUACUCAAUGUCCCUCUGCCUUUUUUUGGUUCAAUCCAUGACUAGGGUAUUUCACGGUUAUAUAGGUUUUUUUGGAAUGUGAAACGUUCAAAUUUGCACGAAUGGAAAUCACAAAAGGCAGAUCUAGCGCCAGGGAACUUUGAAACUGAUUUUGCUAGAUCCAUCCUGCACACGGUGUUACUUGUACGUUACUUGAGUAGCAAACACAACUGAUGUCCAGCAGGUAGACCUAGUCCAAUCACAUCAUAUGUCCAUUACAUAUAACUGCAUAAGAGAGCAGUACUUAGAUACACACCGAAACCUAGAAGUUAAGCUGUUGACACCCUGAUGACCAUAUGGAAGAUAGAGGCGAUCCUGCAGAGGGUUUACAUUUCUUGCUUGAAACGGCUCCAUACCUACACAGAGCCUGAAGGCUGGACUUGCAACAUGAUCAUCCAUUCGCGGCAGACUUGAAAUGGUUGUCAUCAAUCGUGUUGUAAAUGUCGCCCUGGUCAACAUGAUGUUGGAUGACCGCCCUGUGAAAAGUAACAAGUGACGUACGUAAUUUGUGAUAAAGAACAAAGACAAGAUUCAGAAUUGUAGUUCAUGAUAAAGAAUAAGACUCAUUUCAAUAAAAGGGGUCAAAUAAUUUAAUGAUAAUAUUUGUCUGUAUCAUAUCAGUUUCUGUUUAUAUAGCAAGAAAAAAGAUAAGUCCCUGGGAUUGGGAGGCUGUAAUCAGGAAAAGAAAAACUACCGAGCAGAAUACUAAUAACUAAGAACUCGAAGAAACAAUACACAGGAAAGCAAGCUGCCAGUCUGGUUUUGUUCAUCAUUUAAGAAAGAGAAUAGCAAGUUGAAUACUGUGUAUUUUAGAGGGAGGGAGAAGGCAGAAGAUACCUGACUACAUCUUCUGAUAGUUUAAGACGAUUUGCGACAUCUUUGAUGUGCAGUCCAUGCUCCCGGUCUCUGCAGUUGCAGUCACCAGUCUAUUUCUCAACAAGAUAUGCUCCUCACAUUUGUAAUACAGUAAUAAAUUUGCCGUUAAAACUGGCACCGGAAUACUAGCAAGGUAGAAGAAACAAACCUACUACAAAAUGAGGUUUAUACAAGACACUUGAAUCUAUGGAAUACAAAAUUAGCCUCAGAUGGUGUUCAUCCAAUUCAGUGUUCACCAAAAGGACAAUAAACUUUCCUGAAUUUGUUCUCCUUACAGUUCUUCCGUUGUUUCUAGGUUCAUAACCCUGAGCUAUCCUAGUGUUAGGCUAAACCAUUAUUACUAAGUAUGGCCAUUCUUUACCAUGGAGCUUUUAAAGCUCCGUAGGUUUGGUAUCUCUACCAGCUUUAAAAUACUAUGGGGCUUGGAUUCUUUGGACUAUGCUACUCAUGAACAUGAAUCAUGGGUGUAAGAUUAGUUUUCUUUUACUGGGUCACGGAAAACACAGCAAUAACAUUUGAUAGUAGAAUCAGCUAUAGUUAACUUACAUGGCUGCUGGGUCAUUAAAAACACUCAUGACCAAGUCAGACACGUUGUUUCCAGCAGCAUUUCCUGAUGCAGAAAACGUUGCAGCCUGAGGAAAUAAAUAUGAAACAUUAGAAAGAGACUGGUAGAUAUUUGUAAUACUAUACAGUUAGAGAAACUACCUGAUUAUUAAAGGGCCGAACUUGGUUAGUAUGACCAAGGGUUGCCGUACUGGCAUUUAUUUGGGCCUGCAACCAAUGUCACCAUAAAAAAAAUGAUCACUGGAAAACAUAAAAUCACCCACAAAAAACUUAGUAAGUCACUCAACUCCCGGAAUUAUGUGGGAUCUUAGUACCUUUGGCCUGGUGUGAUCCAGAUGCACCUGAAUGCAGUGCAGAAAGUGAUGGGGUAUUUCAUUGAAGUCUGUCACACGCCUGACAAGAAAUCAUAAACAGUAAGAUUUCAAGAAGUAUGUCUGAAAUAGCUGUAUCAAAUUCACAAUAUAUUUGUCCAGGCAAGGUGAGACUUUAUCCUCAAUACUAGUUCAUAAGUGACCUUGAAUCAUCCCAAGAAGAUCUUGCUACCAAUUUGAGACAUCAGAUGACAAACAACUUUCAAUAUGAUAUAAUGUUGGAUAAGCAACAAUGAAACAUUACAUAUUUCAUUAACAACAACAUACUGGAUUAUAAAUAACCUAGACGGGUUGAUGCAAACCUAGCAACCACUAAGUUGUUAUUUGAAUUUGACACAGCAUAAGCCUUUUAUUUAGUCUUCUACUUUAGCACAGGAAAAAUGAAAUUUUAGUACGGUGGCGCAAUUCCAUGGAAGAGAUCAAACAACACACCAGUAAUCCACAGGAAGCAGACAUUGAAAGUAAGCAUCACAAAUCACCAUGCAAGAGUAGAAAGACUAGUAAGUAUAUAGAGCUCACCGCACAGAGUAGGCAACUAUAUGGCGCUUUCCUUGAAAACCUUUCAAACCGCCAUUGACUAUAACAUAGUCCCCGUCACUUGUAAAACCGAAACAAAGCAACACUAUCAAUUUAGACGCAUGACAAACUAAAUAGUUAAUCUGUAAUUCUUACUUGACAUCAGCCAUUUCCUUAGCGUCGGAAGACUCAUUUUCCCUUGAAAAAAAGAAUGGCAUUAAAUUAAUGGAACAAUCCAAAAGUGCUAAACAUCAAAUACGAUCUGGAGCAUCCUACCAACGAUUCACAUCUAUCUUGCCGGUACCAUCAUGAAGAGUGAAUUGAACAUCUGUGACACGGUGAACCUUAUUCAACAUGCGUCCAACAAGCCUAACCUGCAAUUCAGAGUAAAUACAACAUUUUAAAUGACUUCGACAUGCCAACUAAAUGCUCAAUGCAAAACCGUCUGAAACCAGAUAAAUUAGAUUUCACCAAAAAAAAAGACACUAUAGCAAGUAUUGGAAAAUUUGCAUAAAAGGGAAGCAUUUCAUUGGGACCCACCAUACCCCUAUGUCCCAGAGGCUAAUUUCCAGUAGAACAACAUCAGAUAAAAGAGGUCAUUUUUCUUUCUUAAUGGAUAAUGGGUCUACUAAUGAACAAAUCUUCCAUCCAAGCAGUGUGACCAUCCAAAAUGCAAAUCUUGCGAACGAAUCUUGCAAUUCUAAGCACCGCCCGGGAAAAGGGCGAAAAUCCGUACCGUGGACACCUCAACGCCGUCGAUGGCGAAAUUAGAUUUGUCAUCGCUGGCCUGCGCCGCGUCCAUGAUCUGUUUCACGGUGAGCGGGAGCAGCGUCUGCGCGCUCCGACCCUGCCCACCACACCGGUCGAUCGGGAGCGCACGUAACGGGUCAGCAGGGGAUGGAGAACAAAUGGACGAAAGGGAGCAAUACAAAGGGGAGGGGGGAUUAGGAAGGACCUUGGAGAGGCCGCUGCUCUCCGGGACCGCCGUGGACUGUGAGGGCAUGAAGCCCCCGCCGCCGAAGAGCGAGUUGGCGUUGGCGGCGCCACCGCCACCGCCGCCGUCGUAGUGCCCGCCGCCGCCGCCGUACAUCGCGGCGGUUGAAGCCCUAAACCCUAGGCUUCCCGAGGAAGGAAGGGAGGAGCAAAGGAACGAGGGCGGGAGAACGGUUGGGUUGGGGGAGCCUUUGGCCUCGUCCGCUAUUUUGAGCGGAAAUGCGGGGAGGCAGCAGGCAGGCGGGCGUCGGUUCCAUCGGACGACUAUCCGCGCGUGACUCCGUGUUACUUGGCGCGCGCCCUGGCAGACGGCUCCGUCUCAUCAACGGCAAAGGCCUUGUUUAGUUGCACCUUGAAAAUUUUUAAAAAUAAUUAGAGAUCUAACUGUAUCUAAUAUCUUAUAUAAAUUUGAUCAACCUUAAAAAAAACUUUUAAAUUCUCGAAAAACGAGAUUUACAUUCUUUUAGAGAUGGAGGGAAUAUUAUACAGCUCAUAAUAGAUUAGCAAACUAUACUUCUCGGUAUUAACAUAAAGUCAAGUUUUAGCAAAACAAACAGGACGAAAUUAGGAUUCUAAAAACAUAUAAACAAUAUCAUAAUAGAAAGUCCUAACAUCUUAAAUCCUAUGAAUUAAAAAUUAACAUUGAACAUUUGGGACUUAUGGGUGUUGACAUUUGUUUCGGUCCAUAUUUAUUCGUUGUAUUUGAUAGAAAUAAAAUGUCAAGUCCAUUGGCACAGGGAUACAACAGCGUUGCUGAUGGAAAAUUAUGAAGUUGUCAAAAUCUUAUUAAAAAAACUCUUGUAUUUAUUAUAUUCAAUAUUUGAUUUUUUUGAUAUUAGGUUUGACCAUUUGUCUUAAUAAAAAAUUUAUAAAAAAUAUCAAAUCUUUUAUCAUGGUUUACUUUAUUAAUAAAAGUUUUUUAAAAAAUAAUUUAAAUUUUACUAUAUCUAUAUAAUUUUUUGAAUAAGAUAAAUUAUUAAAUUUAAAAUAAAUAAGUUAAACCUCUUAUAAUCUGGGAGGAAGGUAGUAUUUGUUUAUCGUGCUUGCACAGGCGUUGGCCUUUGGGCGCGAGUGGAUAUCCUGGCCCGCCGAACGGACCAAGGCUAGUUCGUGCUCGUGCGGAAGUGUAGCAAGAGCUCGCUCCUGCAUGCGCGAGCCGGAUUGUGCCAGUGCACGAUGCCGCGGCUCAAGUGUCGAUUAGGCGUUGGAUUGGCGUUCAGAGACGAUCGUGUUUUUCUUUUCUUUUUUUCUAUAAAAAAUAUAUCUGUUGAUUAGAAAUUCUCAAUCAUUAUAAAGGUUGAUACUAAACUGUACUAUUGUCCAUCUAUAAAAACUAAGACACAAUGCACAUAUUUAGACUGAAAUUGUCAUCAUGGUCCUAAUUACAAUUAUUAUAAAGGUGUGUUUGACAACUACAUGAGAAGGGGCACAGUAAUUAGUGGUGAUAAUUGACAGAAGAACCGAGGAAGUUAAAGUAGGAAUUUUACUUUUAGUCUAGUUUGUGGAGUAAAUGAGAGAGGAUGAGGAGUGAAUUCAUAUAUUUUUUUCGCGGUGAAGGUUUUGAGUAAGAAAUUACAAGUCUCGAUGGACGGUGAGGUAUUCAUUAAGUGUAUAAUUCUUACCUUUCCCUCAGGGAAUUGUUUAGUGUAAGUUGUCCCUCUAAAGUCCUAUUUCUUUUUUCACCUAAACUCCCACUUUCGCAAAAACAAAUAAAAGAUUUUUAUGCCCAUGCUCUUCUUUGAACUACUCUUGACCAAACGUGCCGUAGCGGUAAUAAUCAUCAUACAUGAAACCGCCGACUGAUUGAUUCACUAGACAUCAGAAAAAACACAACGAGCCAUUUGCAAUUUUUUUUAAAAAAAAAACAUUGCUACCCGUGACACCUGAUCAUGUUCCUAGUACGACAGAUCCUGCGCAAUCAUCCAGCGUGAUUGAAGCGUUCGCAAAAAAAACAGAUACUGGCCUUGUUUGCUUCCUUUUCAAAACCUAAAAUUUUUUUCAAGAUUCUCCGUCACAUCAAAUAUUUAGACGCAUACAUAGAAUAUUAAAUAUAGAUAAAAUUUAAAAGUAUUUGCAUAUUUUAUAUAUAAUCUGCGGAUAAAUUUUUUGAGUCUAGUUAGUUCAUAAUUAGAUAAUAUUUAUCAAACACAAACGAAAAUACUAUAAUGUUUAAAAAAAAUUGGUUGAAGAAACACGGCCCGUGCAAAACUCCAAACGCCGCGAUGCGAGCCAGUUUCCAAGUGCUCACGGGCAAAACCGCAAAACGUUAAUUUUCUUUAGACGCGGAUACAGCCAUACAGGUACAACAGCCUCCUCGGCCCAUGUGUGCUGUGCUCACCAAUUUAUUCGCAUUCCAAAUUCCAUCCAGCCUGCUCGUUGCUUCGCCUUUGCGCUUUGGCCUCUCGCCGCGCCGGCUCCGCCGUCCGCGUUCUUCGCCACAUCUCUUUCUUCCCGGACUCCGGCGCUCCCCCGCGGACGUACCGGCCAUGGAUCCCCCAUCCGCUCAGGUGAUGUCCACGACCGACGACUUCCAGGACAAGGCCGUCGACGAGUGGUAAGGGGACUCGACUUGACUGCUUUCUCCACUCCAUCCAACCCCGCGUCGAUCCCUCUCACCGAUCCUUCUCCUCUCCGCUUUCUCCGUGGGGUUUGGUUGCAGUUGCUCUUGCUGCUACGAUUGCUGCUCCAGCAUCCUGGACUUCCUCUGCUGCUCGUCUUGAUCGAUCGAUGUCGAUGCUGAUGCUGCUCCUCGACGGCCCUGCGGAAUUUCUCAAGGAAGCGGAGGCCGGCCGGCCACACCGUCGCCUCGCUGAUCUUGGAUUCUAGGAUGUCGUGGGAUUCGUAUGUUCUUUAUGAGGUCCUUCGGUGACGAUAUUUGUAAAGCCGGAUUCAGUUCGUCAGUAACAGUAAGGAAACUUGAUAGACUGCUGCACUAAUCUUCAACCCUGCGGCGAUUUCCUUGUCAGAAAACUUUCUGUGCGCUUGCAGAUCGAUUCUCUGUUUGGAAUUCUUACGGAUGACGUGCGCUCGCACUUGAUACGCUGCUGUAUUACACAUUUAUUUACGUUUCUUGUGCACUGAACAUUGGCAACCAGAGCACUUCAAGUCCUCUUCCCUGCACUAGCAAAUUUUUGCGAUGUGAUUGUUGAUAUGGACAUCCUGCGUUAUGGUGUUUGUCAGUUUGCUAUAUCAUGAUGACUCGUGAUAUUGGAAAGCUGAAUUGGACCACCAGAGAUUACGCUCUUUUUCCGUCCGCGUUUUCCGUUUUCCUGUGGUGGACAGUGGACUGCAGGAUGACAACCCUGACCUUUAACGACAGCUCAUAUUCAGCUGUACUUUCUGUUACUAGUUGAGAUAAAGAAACCGAAUUGAAUUUUUUAUUUCAUUAGGACAAAAUUUAUUUUUCAACCUCCAGUUUUGUAUGGCAGUAUAGUUUUAAGAUUUUAAAUCUGAAUUACGAAAGUGAAUACCGUGUUCGCGUGUUCGGUGUACACUCCAACAUCUAAAACCACUCCAUUGGUUACCUUCCAACAGCUAAGAACGCCUUAUUGGUUUCAGAUUAUAAGUUGUUUUAAUUUUUUACUUAUACAUAGUUUUUUAUACACAUAGAUAUCUGCUAUGUUUCCACUGCACCACAAGACCCAGCUGUGAUAGCUAAGGCUGUUACAGUUGAUGGGUUCAUAGCUUCAAUUACUAAAUCUGUACAGGCCUCUCUAAUCCCACAACUACCAGAAGCAGACGAACUUGAUCAUGAAAUGGGUAACACAUCUGAACCACCUGAAACCCCGGUACCACCAAGACUGUCUGUCAUUACCCCCACAACAUAAAAGCAGUAGGUUAGCGGAGAAAUCCAAAACCACAGAAGGAAAAGGAGCAAUCCAAGUUGCAAAGAAGUUGCUUGUUAAAAAAAAAAAAAAAACUGGGAGACUAUCACCACCAACAACACAAGAGGGGGCUGACCAGUUCAACUUUUAUGCACAACAUUUUGAGCGUCCACUCACUAAGGAGAAGAUGGAUGCCCUCACGGUGCUAAUUGCUUCGGGGCCACAAAAAAGCAAAAAGAAGAGGGGCAAGCUAACCAAAGUGGAAUCUAGAAAUACUCAAGAGCAGUUAGAAGUUUGAUGGAAGUUCUCUAUGCACCUGGUGGUUCAUUUGAUGGGCUUUUGUUGACGUACCUGCUCUUCUGUUUUGGCUUCAGUGCUCUUUAGUGGUUGCUUGUUGAUUAGGCGUGCAUGGUGUUUUUUUAGCUUAGUGAGUUGAUGUGGUCUUGUAGCCUUUUGAUAUUAGUUGUGCCACUUUGUUUGUUUGGCUAAUAAGCCAUGAUAGAACCGCUGGCUGAUUGUUGUGAGAAAAAAAUACUGUUCAAUGACUGAUAGAUUCGGCUGACAAGCUAUUUGGUUAGUCGGUUGUUUGUACAUGUGCUGAUUUCUUGUGUUGCGUCUGACUUAUAGGAGUUGUUUCUGGUGAGUUUUUGUAUCCCUAGUUGUACAGGGGUUUUAGGUCCAGUUUUCUUAAAUUGGGCAAGCUCUUGUUUUACUUUCUUCUUCUAAUAUAAAUCAUGGCAAAACUUUUGAUGUUAUUUAAAAAAAAGAUAUAUGCUAUAUCUAGAUACAUAUAAAAAGAUAUAUCUAGAAAGGACAACAACUUUAAAGUUUAGAAUUAAAUGAGCACCAUCCAAAUUUUUUUUCCAUAUAUUCUAAAAUGUUUAGAAUUCAGUUUAGUCUUAAAAAAAUCAUGUCACCUUAGUUCUUUUCUAAGCUGAUUUAAGGAUCUCCCAACCGUCUCCGCUUCUCUGCUAGCUUAUUGUAGAGCUUGAUCCUUAAGCAUCUGUAUGCUUACAUUCCUCUUUCGUGCAAUAUAAGCAUGUGGGGUUUGACCUCCCCAAUUGUUUGGAAAAGAAAAGAAGACUCCUGGCUGCGGUUCACUUGAGUUUGCUAAUCUGUGCACAACACAAGUGUAUGCUGGCAGUAGGCAGCACUACUUUGUGCCAACUACAUUACUAUAGGUUUACAAUUUUGUUUCAUAUUUUUACAGCGAUCUGAUUUCUAUAGCUGGACGACCCUAUAGGAUAAUGAUCUUGAUGCGCUUCAUUUGUAAGGAAAAAAGAAAGAAAAAUCUAAAUACGCUGCAUUUGGGUGGAAAAAAAAGGGGGGGAUCUAAAUACGCCAGGAAAAAAAGAAAAAAAAUCUAGAUAUCGAUCCUCAGAGUGUUCUAAAAGUUAUCAGCUUCAACCACUGAAAUUCCAGGCUUUAUUUCAGAGAAUUCAUAAUUUCAGAAAUUAAACCCAUGAAUGAGACUAAAAUGCAGAACAAUCUAUUGUACUGUACUAUGCCCUGUUUGGACCAUGGAUGUUUGCUUAUAUUUGUAAUGUUGUAUUUACAUGCUUGUUUGGCAGACGUAAUUAACGUGAGUAGUGCUAAUCAGUUCGAGGCAAAACUCUUUUAUAUCUGACUUCUUGUACUUCAAUUUCAAGGGGCCAAAGGCUGAAUGGGAUUAUUUUGUAUCCAACUUGUGAAUGAAUUACAAUAUUGCAACGCACCAUUGGAAUUGCACUAAAUUUUUUCUAAUGUACCAUAUUUUUUGUGUGGAUAAGUGUCAUAGCUCAAUUCUUGGAACCUCAAAUUUUUUGAGCCCGGGGUACGCUGUCUAAGAUUCUGGGGUUCUAAUUUUGUGUGCCCCAGAUUCUCAGUAUUGUUGUGUGCAGUCAUGCACUAUGAGUUUAAUUUUCUUCUAUUGCAAUGCAGGGACAGGGACAGUUCUGCAACUAAUAAUCAUAUAUAAUAAUGCUACUAUGUAUUUUAAUUGUUAUAAUGGGACUCCAAACAAAUGGCUUACAAACAUGAAGCCAACGUUAAGAUUGUCAUUUUAGCGAAGCCAUUUGUUUGGAGUACCAUUAUAGCAAUUUUCUCAAACAUUUUGCAAGCGCCCCAUCGUUCCUAAAAAAAAAAUCAAUCGCAGCCUCCAAAAGAAAAAAAUCAUGAAUCCUCGGAGACAAGAUACGCGACGAUGACCGUGAUGUCGUCCUGCUUUCCACCAUGCCAUACCUCCUUAUAUUUCUUCAAGUAUCCGAUACCGAACGGCGAGCAUGCCCAACUGUUGUUGGAUAUCGCGUAAGCGAGGCCCGCGACAAUGUCCGCCAUGUUCUUGGGCGAAAAGCCCAGUUCGGUGCCCAUCCGCACGGCGCGCUCGAGCUGCCAGUCGUGCACGUUGUCGAACAGCCCGUCCGUCGCCAUCACCACGACGUCGCCGUGCUCCGCCGCCGGCAUGCCGCCCACCUUCGCCUCGGCGAGGCUGCCUCCACAACCCCUGGCGCUCAGCUGGUACGGCUCGUUGAAGCCGCGCUGCUGCUGCACCGAGCGGUGGAUGAUCUCGCCGCCUCGGAACACGGCGAAGGCGCUGUCGCCGAUGUACGCCCACCUGAGCGCCGCGCCGUGGAGCGACAGGAUGGCGGCCGUCGAGCCCCCCGGUGUUCCGCUCGUGGCCGCGUUCUUGUACGCCCGCUCCAGCACCUUCAUGGGGCAGAGCCGGGGAAGGAGCUUGGGAGCCUUGGCGUUGGCCACCCGCUCCGCCGUCGCCAGAGCGUUCGCCAUGAGAGCUCGCGCGAACGCGCCGGCGUCCACGCCUCGGUCCCGGUACCCGCCGACACCGUCCGCGACGCCGACGACGCCGGCCUCGGCGUGCCCGAAGUGCGCGUCCUCGCCGUGGAGAGGGAGGACGCAUGCCGCCCAGUCCAUCUUCAGAGCGGGAGCGCAUGGCCGCGCGUCGUCACACCGUAGCUCCUCCGCGCGGCGGCGUCCAUGGCCGGCGCCGGCGUCGUCGUCGUCACCGAUCUUCCACUCCGACGGCGCGUGUUCGGUCCCCGGCGAAUCAUCCAAAACGGAGGCGACGAACCUGGAGAUGCUCACGUCGGGGGUUCGUUCCUUGAUCUCGGCUAGCGUUCCCUGGAUCUGCUCCAACUUCUCCAGUGCGCUCGCCAUCUUGGUCGGUCGCCAUGGUGCAUGCAUGUACAGAUAAUAUACCGCCCCUAAUCUAGCCCAAAUGUUCUUGAGAACGAAUUCGAAACGGGCACCAAGGACCAUGUUAGCAAAUGAUGCAGAGCAUGAGACACAAAAAAUUACAUGGAAAAUCCUUGCGGUGAAAAAACAAAAUAUUCUAAACACUUGACUCGAACUCUGGUCUCUAGACGUAUUUCACAAAUAAAGACGCGUAUUAGAGUUCGGAUCGAAUUCUAACUCGUAUUAGAAUUCAGAUCAAGUUCCUUUUUUUUUCUUGAUCGGCAAUUCAGAUCAAGUUAUCACAGACACUGAUGAUGCGUGCACUCGUGUAGCUUCGUGUUUCUGAACUCUGAUGUGCCUCUCGCCAUGCCGUUGGGCUCCCGUUUUAUGGCCUGGAUUCAUGGAAAGUAUGGAACCUACACGUGCGUAGCGUCCUCAGCUCGUCUCGGAGUCGGCCGCUGUUGGCGGCGGGAUCACAUUUAGGAGCCGGAGUGCGGAUCAGGUAACCACGAUUCACGAACGUACGUGUCAAUAGUAUAGCACUAUACAACGUCGCUGGUCUGAAAAAUCAUAGCUGAAAUUACUGCUGUCUGAUUUAUUGUGAGAGAAAAAUACUGUUGACUGACAAAAAAAAUUACGAAAAAAAACAUGCUCGUCACCGGCCGUCAUCAAGAAGUAAGAAUGACAAGGAAAAAGGUGUGUGGGCGUGGAACAUGCAUGGUGCAGGCGUGCAGCUACUCAUGGCCAAGGGGCUCACCACCAUGCCCUACCUCAACGAAUACGAGCCCCCCCCCCCCCCCCCCCCCCAAACCAUCACUUGAGCUUCUGCAGAGUCUCACAGGUUCGGAUUGGCUGCGACACUGCGAUCAGAUGAGGCAGACUAUUUAUCCCCUAUUUGGCUUGCAUCUUGUUGUAUUGUAUUAUCCGACAAAUAAAACCAGUUCACUGGUGUGGUUGAUUGCUAUAUAUAGUCUGUUUAUACUCUUUUCCAACAAUCCUGAUUAUAUAUAUUUGAGUAUAUAUGUUUUGAGAUGAACCUCUAUUUCUAAAGAACGAAAACUGAUUUGUCGGAUUGCAGGACUAUCAUCAGAUACAAAAGAACUCAACAUGGCAUUUGUAAUAAGGCGUGCAGGCACCGCAAGCGUGAAUUUUAUGAUCAAAGCGGCAACUGCCCAUCAUAUGAAACGGCUCACUGUCAGAUCACCUAACGGCUCAGCCGGUCGGCCCUCAGUGGCCUAUGCCUAUAUGACAAUUUUAAUAAGACGAUUCAUGUUCGUUUAACUCUAACAAUAUUUUCAGCAUGGUUUUUCAGAUGCGAACAUACUGUUUUGAUCCUUAGCACUAAAAGCUACUCUGUUCCAAAAAAAGCUUCAUAUUUUAGUUUUAUUCUAAUUCAAACUAUUUUAGCAUUGAGAAGUAUGCAAAUACAUAUCUUAUUACGAAACUACAUUGAGAUAUAUGUUUGCACACUUCUCAAUGUGAAUCCAAUGGAUGAGAGAGAGAGUAUGUGCCCUUAUGAGUAGAAAAAGGGCUUUCGCAACGCCACGCCCGCUGCUAAGAGGUGGAGAAGAACCUACAGAUGUUCCACACAAGCUGUCUCCAAAGGUUACAGAUGUUCCACACAACUCAGAGAUUCCCUUCAUGCGCUCUGCUUCUUGUGUACGUUCCAAUUUUUGUUGAUGAAUUGUCGGUUCCAAUGUUCUUAAGAGAGUAAUCCUCCUCUAAUCUUAAAGCCUAUCAAUGGGUGGCCUGACGCCACGGCUCAUCAUCAUCAUCGACUACGGCUGACAGCAGAUCGCCUCCGCGAACUGGGAUCGAAGAGUUGUAAAAAGAUCGUGCACAAAACCACAACAAUGGACUAUAUUUGAGAUCGGAUAGGGCAUGAUACAAUGUAGGCGACCACUACAGUGAUGUCAUCCGGCUUCCCGCCGAUGAAAGGCUUCCGGCCUGGCUGCGUCCGGCAGGCCGAGCUGUACGGCGUGUCUCUGUCGCGGCAGGUCGCAGCCUCGAAAGCGAAGGCCGCCAUGACCUCCGCCAUGUUCUUGGGCGCGAACCCCAACGCCGUGCCCAUCCGCACGAUGCGCUCGAUCUCGGCGUCGAACACGUUGUCGAACAGCCCGUCCGUGCCCAGAACCACAAUGUCGCCUUCCUUCGCCGCGACCUCGCCGACGUCCGCGUCGGCGAGCCUGUCGCUUUCUUGGUUCGAGCUGAGCUGGUAGGGGCAGUUGAAGUAGUGCUGCUGCGGCCGGAAGCGGCGCAGGAUCCUGCCGCCGCGGAGCACGACGAACCCGCUGUCGCCGACGAACGCCCACUUGAGGGUCCGGCCGGCGAGGGAGACGAUGGCCGCCGUGGACGCGGCGGGCGUGCAGGCCGCGGCCGUCAUCUGGUACGCCAGCUCCAGCAGCGCGCGGGGGCAGAAGCGCGCGCCGUGCACGGCGGUCGUCGCCGCCACCUCCGCGUAGGCGUUGUGCAUGAGCGCGCGGGAGAACGCCGACGCGUCGACGCCGCCGCCGGCGUUGCUGCGGUACCCGCCGACGCCGUCCGCCACGCCAAUGACGCCGGCCUCGGCGUGCCCGAAGUGAGCGUCCUCGUCGUGGUCCUUUAUGUAGGAUGACGCGAACACCAUCCCCAGGUCUCCCUCCGGCUGCUGCGCCUCGUCGUCGUCGCAGUCCAUGGCGUCGCUGGCGCCGUCGUCGUCGUUUGCGUCGCGCGGCGCGAGCAGGACGGCGGCGAAGUUCGCUGCCUCAUCCUGUUGGCCGCGCAGAAUCGCCGGACGCCUGGGGCGGCAUAUGCCGAAGGCGACGCGGAGGGCGUCAGGGAUCCGGCUGUCGAUCUCCGUCAGAGUUUGCGCCAUGUGCUUCUCCAUUGGACUUUCUCUAGCGCUACUCUCUGAGAACUAAAACUAGGGUUCUUGGUUUUUCGAAACGGGGGGCCUCGGCGCAUGCAAGCGGCUGCCUUGCACACGUCGAUCGAUACGAGGCAGCGACGCGUAGUAUGAAUCAAAGACGGGGCUCAUCGUGCUCGUGCGGUUUGCAAGCGUUUAGUUAUAUAGGCACCCAACAAAUAUUCCGACUCGUGCUCUCCCCUCUCCUAUAGCGACACGCUUUUAGUUAGGCCUUGUUUAGUUUGAAAAAAAAUUUGGUUUUGGCUACUGUAGCACUUUUAUUUGUUUGUGACAAAUAUUGUCCAAUUAUGAAUUAACUAGACUCAAAAGAUUCAUCUCGCGAAUUACAACUAAACUGUGUAAUUAGUAUUGAUUUUUGUCUACAUUUAAUAUUUCAUACAUAUGUUACAAGAUUUGAUGUGAUGGGGAAUCUUGAAAUUUUUUAGAAACUAAACAAGGCCUUAGUCCGCUUCGCUUUCCCUUUUUCUCGAUUCCGAUUCUGUUUCGAUGAAAUUGAAAGAACAACGAGCCAACUAGGAACACAUUUUUUUGGUUUUCAUUCUCAAUCCCCGUUGUGGUUUAAUACCCCACCCAGCUAAAUGCAAGCGAUAUUCCCUAAGAAAAGAAAGGGUUUUUAGAAAUAUAUUUGUUUUAGAAUGGAGGGAGUAACUAUGGUUAGUUCAAUUGGUGGGAGAAUAUUUUGAUCAAUUGACCAUGAAUUAGGUUUGCUAAAUGAGAUUGCCAUCUUUAAAAAUUUAGCAAAACAAAAAAAUUUACUCUCCAACAGAUUGACAAAUCAACUUGGUAAUUUUGAGAACUUGACAUCUUCCUCUCCGCACACGCAUAUAUGUGCACGUGCAUCCACUGCACAUCGGAGUUUCCUGUGCGCACGAGUGAUGCUCUUGGUGUCUGCUCCUCCUCGUGACAUUCAGACCUUGUUUAGAUCCAUUUUUUUUUUGGAUUUUGACACUAUAACAUUUUUGUUUUUAUUUGACAAAUAUUAUCCAAUCAUAGAUUAUCUAGGCUUAAAAUAUUUGUCUCACGAUUUACAGGCAAACUGUGCAAUUAGUUUUUAUUUUCAUCUAUAUUUAAUGCUUCAUGCGUGUGCCAUAAGAUUCAAUGUGAUUGGGAAUCUUGAAAAAUUUUAAUUUUUGGGGUGAAAGUUCUAAAAAAUUUCAAAAUUCCCCCAUCACAUCGAAUCUUUAGACGCAUACAUGAAGUAUUAAAUAUAGACAAAAAUAAAAAAUAAUUACACAGUUUACCUGUAAUUUGCGAGACCAAAUAUUUUGAGCCUAGUUAAUCUAUGAUUUGACAAUAGUUAUCAAAUACAAACAAAAAUACUACAAUACCUAAAAUUCAAAUGCUUUGUCAACUAAACAAGGCCUUAAUUUAAUGGAGCCGCCUGCGGUUGCAGGUCCUUGUCUCCUGCCGAAAAGACGUUGAGUGUGUGAAAGCUCUAGUUUGGUUUUGGAUAAUUGAUGAAAUCUAUGAGAACUAACCUUUGGCUCUAAGUGAUAUAUGAGAUAGGUUGGUUCAUAUUGUGGUCGAGCUAGAUGGCACUCAAAUAUGAUGGAGAUGAUCGGAAAUUAUGAUCAAGUGCUCAUAUCUUGCAAAGAAAAAGAAGGGCUCAAGGCAAAGGUAUAAAAUAGGAUAUUUGUUUUUGCCGGUCAAGACGUAAUAGAGUGCGUGAUCGGAUUUAGGAUAGAUAACCGUACUAUUAAGAGGGAAAAUCUUUAAUUGCAAUGGUUAUCUAGUGCCACUAAGUUGAGUCUCAUUUGCAUAUAUUUCUUGCGCUUAGUGAUGUGGUGAAAAUGCAUGAAAAAUCCUAAGAAAAUAUUUGUGAUAUGCUAACUUAAGUGCUUAAUUUAUUUUUGGUACUCAUGAAAAGUUAGUACUUAAAAAGGGUAUGAAAAGAAAAAAGAGAGCUUGCUUGCAUGACAUAAAAACACUCCUUCCUGUAGCAUGCUUGGUGUAUUCGUGUGCAUGCAUGCAUCCACCUUUUUGGCUCUACAGGUUUCGUGUGCUCAGAAAGGUUUUACAAGUGGUUGUAUGCUUUGCGUGGAGUGGUGCUAGGCUGCUAGCUGUUGUGUCUGCCGAUGGGCUGCUGCUACCGCCGCUCGCUUGGAAGGCAGAGAAAAAUUCGAAGAGCCGUUGCCUGCUGUUGCUCUGUUUGCUUUCUCUCGUGGGGCCCCUCACUUGCAUGCAGCUGACCAGGGAGCUUCCGGGAAGCUUCCCAGGAGCGCGUCGGGCCGCUGGCUUCCCACCCGUUGCUGGUGGGGUCACGGCGUCAGGGGGCUUGCAGGUGUGGACGCCCGUGACCUCCCUCGCUCCUUGCUGCUGAUCCCGUAAUAGACCGAGGCCUUCGGCCCAGGCUUCAGUGGCUCGGCCAUUGAACAGAAAAGAAAACAGAGCUGCUCCUUUCCUCUUCCUCUUGCAAACCCUAGAAGAAAAGAGCCCCAAUCCUCCAUCCCUUCACUCCAUUGAUUUGUGCUCCAUUCAAGUGAAGGAUAGUGCUCUAGAGAUCAAUUUGAGAGCUCCAAGAGGAUCCCCUUCAUCUCCUCUCCCUCUCCAUGGUUGGUUCAUGCUCAUGAGAGGAGGUGGUAAAAUCUAGUGUUCUUGUGCAUUUUGUGAUUCAUAUUUGUGGCACUAGAUUGUGAUUGCAAUUGAGGAUUUCUUAUUACUCUUGGUGAUUGCCGUCACCUAGACGGUUGGUGGAUUGGUGAUUGGUGAGGGGAUUUGGUGAUUGUGUCCGCCCCGAAUCAAGAGGUGAUUUGUGAGGGGUUAUUGUGGUUCCCCAGCGAAGUGCCUAAUUCCAACUCUAGUGGAUUGCUCAUGUCAUUCAACUCUAAUCCAUUGGUAGGUUCUUGUGGCGCCUUUUGAUAGGCUCGGUGUGUGAUACCGAUUAGCCACCGAACCACGUGGUGCGGGGGACACAAUGGGGACUAGCUUGCCGGCAAGCAAGUGAACCUCGGGAGAAAAAUAAUUGUGUCAUCUUUGUCUCCCGGUGAAUUGGAUAUCAUCUUGGUGAUUGGCUUCUCUCCAACGUUGGUAUAAAAAGCUCUCUAUCCAUCUUUGCAUUACCAUUAUUUUUUACUUGCAACAUAUUUUGUGUAGUGGUGGUAGAAAUCAAAUAGAGUAGCAUAGCUUAAUUUAUUGUUCUUGAUAGCUCUUUUAGCUUGCUCACUAGUGUAAAAUUAGAGACAUAGUAUUUGUGUGCCAUAGAGAUAAUAAAGAAUUAGAAUUGCAAAUAGGUGGCUUGCCUAGACUAUCUCCAACAAUGGUCACCCAAAAUACAAGACUCAUUUGUCCUUUGGAUAGCGCUACAGGUAAAAGUUUCCAUACCUAUUUUUAGUCUUCUCCAACAACAAGACCUAAAAGACAACACUCUCCGCAAAUGGGUCUCGAGGAGAGAGGAUACCCAAAUUUGGGUUAUGCCUCUCCUGACACCUAAAAUGGGUCUUCUGUAUGGGUACUCUGUUGGAGGCUAUAGGUAUUAUGUUGGAAACCUAUUUUGUGUUUGGCUUCCAAAUAGGUCUUCUAUUGGAGAUAGCCUGUAGAGCUAGAGCAAACCGCAUUUUGCCAUUUGUUUUACUAAUAUUCCGCUCUAGUGCCUUUGUAGAAUUUUAAAUUAGGCUAUUCACCCCCUCUCUAGCUAAUUAGGACCUUUCAGUGUGUACUCCUCUUCGUGAUUCAUGAAUAAAACCUGCUAGCUAGUGAUACUACUAGCCAUGUCCAUCACAAUAAAGGCCUUGUUUAGUUCCCAAUUUUUUUUAGUUUAAGCUACUAUAGCAAUUUUGUUUUUAUUUUAUAGUUAUUGUCCAAUCAUAUCACUUUUUUUUUUAGAAUGGACGACAAAAGUACUGUUAUAAUUUUUAGACGAUAGAAAAGAGAAAAAAUGAUUUACAACAUUAACUUGAGAAGUAUGACAAGCCACAAAAGAUAGUUGCCACACUUUGUCAUGCCGAAUUUCGCCGUACUUUUUAACUUUAUGACAUGUAGAGUCAAAAAAAUCAUGCCUAAGCUUAAUUACAAACCAAACACUUACCAAUUUAAUCAAACUUAUCUAAAAUGGAGUGUGGUAAAGUGUAGCUAUCAACCAAACAACCUCUAAACCAGCCAUUAUAGAGCUACCUUGACCGCGACUACUGAAAAAAGAAGAGACAUAAAAAAGACUACUAAAAAACAAAAACCAACCAAGGCACAGAAAGGACAAUAGGGAAAGAAAGCAAGCACCCUGAAGAUCGUCUGUGCCCUUGAUGCCAUGACGAUCAUGUACUGCUAUGUCAUCCUUGCAUAGCGUACCCACCUGAACUGGGUUGAGGGCAUUCAACUAAAAAUAUCUUCUAUUUCUCUCCUUUUAAAUACUUCACCAAAAGUAGAUAAAAGAACCCAUCCACUUUUCUCCUCUCAUUUUUAUUAAAUUUGCAUCUGCAUCUCCACUAGAAGCUAUCACUCUGUCCCAAAUUAUAAGUCAUUCCAAGAAUUUUGGAGAGUCAAAGUUUUCAAGUUUGACCAAAUUUAUAUAGCAAAAUAAUAACAUUUUUAGUACCAACCAAGUAUCAUUAGAUUCGUUGUUAGUUAUAUUUUCAUAGUGUACAUAUUUUAUGAUAUAAAUCUUUAUAUUUCGAUUCAUCAAAAAAAAUCUUUAUAUUUCUCUCUAUAUUUUUUGUCAAACUUAAAAAUACUUUGACUCUCUAAAAUUCUUGGAAUGACUUAUAAUUUGGAACCGAGGGAGUAUGUAAGACUGACUCCAACAACGGAAAUACAAAAACGACUCAUUCCUGGUUUUGGGUCAUGGUGGCGGCAGGUGCCGAGCAGUGGCAGGGGCCGAGCAGCAGCAGCGGGCGACGCUGCCCCAUCCUCAAUGAUGCCGGCGCACCCCCGUUGAGCCAUGGAGAGGGCCUCCUCACCGGAUCUGGCAACAGUAAGCGUCAGUCCUGGCGUGGCUGAGCCUGAGCGAGAUGGCAAUGCGACCCGAUGGCGGUGGCGCUCGGCACCGGCAGUGCUGGAGGAGUCGCUGUUGCGACGACACCGGGCGGGGCGGGGGGAGGGGGUGCGCCAUGGCUCGUCGUCCCGCCCAGCCAGCCCCUCCUGACGGUGCGGCGGAUGCAGUAGUUCGGCACGCCCUCCAAGAUCAUGGCGUCCUCCACUAGUCCACUUCCUCCUCGUCCUACUCGUUGUAGUCGAGCUCGCGCUACAAUGCACGCCCUAUUCUGUAAGCUCGACAACCAACCAGCGCAUGCAUCGUCCUCUGACAUCCAUGGCAGCGGCAAACCUGCCGGCACCAAACGCAAACAAGAAGGAAACCAGCUUCUCGCGGGCUUCUUCUCACAGAUAUUAAGGCAACCCGACCAACUGCAGUUCUAUCGACCAUGACAUGACCAGCUUCUCGCGGGCUUAGCUUCUCACACAUAGGCAUUGGGAAAUUGAGGGACGAGUUACUUUAGUCUUAAUAUAAUUCCUCCCCUAGGUCAUUGCUGUUAUCAUUAGAUUUCAGCCACAAUAAUUGGAGUUAUGUUUAGUUGUUUGCCCUUCAUCAUCGACAUCAAAGGUGACACAACUAGAUUUUUCAAUUUCUCCUAGUAAUGUGGGAUUCUCCUAGUGUUUUGACAUUUAAAAUUUAGUAUAAACUUUUCCUAGUAAAUACCUCCUAGUGAGGAUUCCCUAGUGUUUGACUAGUGGUAGUGUUUUAUUACUAACUAAAAACACUAGAAGAACUCCACCAUUUUGGUAGUGUGAUGCAAAAAUAUAAAGUAUUCAUAACAAAAUAAGCAUACAUGUCGUGUGCCACCAAAUAUACCAAGUAUACAUGCAUGCAUGCAUGAGUGAAAUAAUAUAUUGAUGGAGUUUAGUAAUAGUAAAAAAUGUUUCUUAACGAACGAAUUUUAGAAUUAGAUAAAAUCUUGGAGGGAGUAUAUUAAAAACAUUAUAAUCUUGGAGGGAAUAUAAAUAACAAAUCAUUUUAAAUAUAUUAAAUGAAUAUUUUAUCUAAUUCUUACUUCAUACAAUUUGUAUAUUAUAACUAAAACAUUAUAAAAUUUAUACAUUUUGCCAGAGUAACAUAUCCAUCGACAGUGUAAUAAGCAUUUGAUUUUAGAAUUCUUUGAUAGAGAAAGUUGCAUAUCUAGAGCGUUGAAUCGACUGUUGAUACCAUAAUAAUGCGUAAGAUAUAUGUAGAUGUGCAAUGUAAAUUAAGCUAAGAUUUCAACCAAACACAAAAGAUACGUAGAUUGAUGUGCAAUGCAAAAGGGAAAAACUAUCAAUGCGGAGUUUUUCAAACUCUAAAAAGGACUAUAAUUUGAACAAUACAACAAUUUUCAAAACUGUAACGUUUGUUGCAUCCAAAUACUUCAUGAUGACACUUCAAACCAAAGUACUCCCUUCAUCCCAAAUUAAGUCAUUCCAAGAUUCUUAGAGAGUUAAAACAUUUCAAGUUUGACCAAAUUUAUUUGAUAAGAUAAUAAUAUUUAUGAUAUCAACAAAGUACCAUAAGAUUCUUCAUUAAUUAUAUUUUUAUAGUAUAUCUAUUUGAUUUCAUAAAUUUUUAUAAUUCUUUCUGUAAUUUUGGUCAAACUUAAAAUGUUUUGAGUCUCCAAGAGUCUUGGAACGACUUAUAAUUUGGGACGAAGGGAGUAUAUUAAAAACAUUAUAUUUUCUAAAACUCUAAAAAUACUUUUAAUCCAACAGGACCUAGCUAAGACACAUAGAUGUUGCAAUGUAAAGGGUGAAAACUAUGAAUAUGGAUGGAAAUUAAAACAUAUAGAGUAAUUGACAAAUCUAUCAAAACCUGACAGAGAUCACGGAGUAUCUACAUAUUAUUGUGUAAGAAACUGAAUAGAGAAACGGCACAAAAAGAUAAAAAAAAAAGUUUGAAUAGUCGCUGGUACUAAUUAAAUCUAUCCACGAGCUUGUACUGUACCUAUAUCUUAGUAAAGCUCUAGCAUGCAUGAGCACAUGUUAAUGCACUCGGUUGCGCUAAUAAAUGAUCAUUUCUCAUGAUCCCGUCAACAAAACUGUCGAGGUUUCCGUUUGCUGCACAUCUGGCCUCACCCAUCACGACUCGUUUCCUCAACUCAUCCACCUUCUCCUGCAUACGCCUUCCUUCUUCUCCUUCCAUGAUCCUCUCGACACAGUCUUCCACUACACUCCUCUUGGUGCUACAGAGCCUGAUCCCCGUCUCCCACACCUUGACGAUGUAAGCGCAGUUGAUGAACUGGUCACCGGACACCGGGUAGCACAGCAGGCGCACCCCAUGCUGUAUGGCCUCCAGCGUGGAGUUCCACCCGCAGUGCGUGAGGUAGCACCCGACGGCGCUGUGCCGGAGGACGUCCUCCUGCGGCGCCCACGCGACGAUCUUGCCGCGGCCGGCGACGGCCUCGGCGUACUGGCGGGGGAGGCCUUCUCGCCACGACGGCUCGUCCUUGAGCGCCCACAGGAACGGCCGGGCGGUGGCCUCCAGCCCGAGCGCGAGCUCGCCGAUGGCGUCUCGACCGAUCGAGGCGACCCAGCUUCCGAACGAGACGUAGAUCACCGACCCCGCGCGCUGCUCGUCUAGCCACUCCACGCAGGUCUCGUCCGCCUGCCACAUGCUUGGGUUCUUGGAGCUGGUGGAGCGUCGUCGUCGUGGUGCCGCCGGGGAGUCAUGCAGCAGAUCGCCUUUGGUAAUGCGACCGUCGUCGAAGCCGCCGCUGGGUGGCGGCAGUAGUGGUCCGACUUGGAGGACCUGUGACGCAUCAGUGCCGGUGUCGUCGCCGUCGCCGGCGCCGGCGCCGGCGGCUUCGACGGGGAAGGUGUUGACGAGGAUAGAGCGGAAACUCUUUGCGCGCUCCAUGGUCUGAAGCCAGAAGGUGAACCUUGAUUUCUGGCACGCCGCGUCGCCCACAAGCCAUGGCAGCUCUGCGGUGCUCAGGCCUAGUUGUGCAGGCAAUACGUGGAGGCUGUCGCCAGUCUUCUGGUGGUCUCCGUUUACUUUGUGUUCUUCACCAGUGUUUAAUCUUUUGGUCGAUAUGGGAAUGCCUACAUGCAUGUGACAAGAAACAGAACAAUGAACAAGAGAAGUUGCAGCUUUGGUAUGAACGGUAGGUUAAACUUCUGCAAAAAUUUGUAUAUUAUGCCAAGUGGUGGUGAUUUAAUUGAUGAAACCCAUCAUAUUGCACCGGUGUUUGAAGCCUAACCACAAGAACAAUACACAACAAUGGUAAAAUAAUAAUGUGUGUUAGCAAAUAGUUGCAGAACAAGGAAAUCACCGAGCGAGAAGAAUGCAAUGGAAUAGUGCGUGGAUCAUGCAGUAAUAGCACAUAGUGCGUACCGUGAUCUGAGAUCAACCCCUUGUCGAUGAGCUCCGGGAUGGCCGCCACGACGCGGUAGGUUGCCAGCAUCGCCGUCCAGAAGCCCACGGCGGGCACGCCGCACCGGGCGGCGACGGGGACCGCCCACGACGCCAGGACGUCGGCGACGAGGCACGCCACGCCGCGGCCCGCUAAUCCGCGCCGAGUCGUCAGCAUCGACUCCAGGCUGGUGGGCAUGUGGUGCUCCAUGGCGCGCGCGAAGCCGGCGAAGCCCGGGGGCUCGCCCACGCCGUCGUCCGGGACACCGCUGUCUAUGGACGCGAGCUCGACGCCGACGCCCACCUGAUGACCGCAGGCGCUGACGAGUCUGCGGUGGACGAAGUCGGGCACGGCGACGAUGGCCGCGACGCCUCGCCCGGCGAGGGCGCGCGCCAGGCGGAGCAUCGGGGAGAUGUGGCCCUGCGCCGGGAACGGCACGAGGACAACGGUGGCCGCCGCGGGGCGGCGGACGGCCACGUGCUCGGCCUCUGCGCCCAUGGUCACGGCCCACCGCCCACGUUUGGGAAGCUGGCUGAGCAAGCUGCCGACGAUGGCAACGGUAGUGUUGGACUUUGGGAUUUAAAGAAGGCGCGUGCGUCACGGGCUCGAUUUGCCAGUUUCAUUAUAGGCCCAAUGUGGCCACUGUCCCUUUGACAUUCAUAUGUUAAUGAUUCCGCCACUUGUUAAACGCUUCUGGCUGAGCAAUACUCGCUCCAUUCCAAAUUAUAAGACAAUCUAAAAAUUUUGGAGAGUCAAAGCAUAUCAACUUUGACCAAAAUUAUAGAGAGAAUUAUAAAGAUUUAUAACAUUAUAUAUUAUAAAAAUAUAAUUAAUAAAGAAUCUAAUGAUACUUAGUUGAUAUAAUAAAUGUUGUUAUCUUAUUAUAUAAUUUUAGUCAAACUUAAAAUGUUUUGACUCUAAAGAUUUUUGGAGUGUCUUAUAAUUUUGGGAUAGAGGGAGUAGCAUGUUAUAAGCUAGCUAAAUAAUAAGGUGAAGGAGAAAGAAGAGAGAGAGAGGAGAAGUGAUUGUAAGCUUAUAGCCGGCUUAGACAUAAGGAAAAAAAAAUUAUGAGAGAUAAGUGAAUCAUGUAUUAAUAGUGAAUAGUUAACUACUAUAUAAGUGGGCUAAGAGCACUCUAUAAAGAAAAUCUUAGCUAGCUGUAUUAUUAGUCUUGCUCUUAGCUGGUGUUAGUAUUUGUGUUUAUCCAGUUGAGCAGAUAUCACAUGCUGCUGGACAAUUGGUUGUUGGAAACUUGGAAUGCUUGCUGUCGUUGUUUUCUUAAGAGUUCCUCGUGGUUGGCACACAUGGUACUUGUUUGUGGCUUUGCAAAUUUUAGAGCAAUCUUAAACGCUCGUAUGGCAGUGAUUUGACUUUCAGCUCACAUGCUGCGGAACGUGGACAAUUAGCUGUUGGAAAGCUUGUUCUCGUGCUGUUUGGUAGGAGUUCCUCGUGGUUGGCACAUAUGGUAGGAGUAUCUACAUCAAACAGAGGCUAACUGUACUUCUCUGAUCUGAUCUUUCAGUAGUGGAUGUGAGGCUGCAUUCUUAGCUGAUUCCUGACUGGUUUUGCUCAGGACUCAGCUUACCAAUCUAUUGUAUGGGCUUAUGUUUAUGGGCCUCCGAGGUAUUUUUGUAUAGAUACCAAAGGCCCAUGUUAUCAUUGUUCUUUAAUUAUACUGAACAUUUUAUUACCAAGUUGGUUACAAGUAACACUUGCCGUACAAGUAGGAAACAUCUUCUUUUGUUUUCAAAAUAAGAAAUCUAUCUCCGUCUGGAGUGGGCGAGAUGAUGAUGCUCUACUGUUUGGCAAGUCAACUAUGGUCAUUCUGCCAAAAGCCACUACAGGAAACGCGAGCUUUGUCUAGAGCCUGGCUUUGUCGAAAGCCAGACCCUCGGCAAAGACUGCCUUUGCCAAGAGCCAGGUCAUUAUCUUGGCAAAGAGCCUUUGCCGACGGCCAGGCUCUCGGCAAAGAAGGGCUCUAGGCAAAGGUCAGCUACGCUCUCGGCAAAGGCAAACUCUCGGCAAAGAUAUCGCGCCGUGAACGCCUACCAUAGUCGUCGCCUUUGCCGAGAGCCACGUCGUUAGGCUCUCGGCAAAGAGGUGGCCUUUGCCGAGGGCAACGACUGGCUCUCGGCAAAGACCCCCUUUGCCGAGGGCUAGAACUUGCCCUCGGCAAAGAGUGAAGGUUUUUUUUGAAUUUUGGGUCUAGACUUUUUCUAUAGCUCUUGCAUAUUAUAUACAAGCACAUGUUCAAAUUUGGGAGCUUUUUAUAACAUUUUGCUAUAUUUCAUAAAUUAAUUUAUUUUCUUUGCAUUUUUUUGAAAAAGUAAAUUUGAACUGUAGGUGUAUGAAAUAAUAAUAUAUAGCCAUUCAAAAAAUGAUACUCAUAUUUGAGAGUGUAUUUUGAGGCUAUAUCCAUAAACUCACCCAAAAGUUUGAAUGUCUUUUAUACGAAACAUAACCAUCCAUGUGUCGUUGAUGUGAUUUUUAAUUAUAUAAAUUCCAAAUGAAGUUCAAAAAUCACAAAACUUGGGGACAUGUCUUAUUAUCGUAUGUGGAUGUUGUGGUAAAAAAUUUAUAAAGUUUCGAGUAAGUUGCGACUCCGGAUGUCUAAAAUCCAAACAUCUCCACAUGUGAUCAUAUUUGAUCACAUGUGGAGAUGUCUGGGUUUUAGACAUUCGGCAUCACAACUUGCUUGAAAUCUUAUGAAUUUUUUACCACAGCCUCCACAUGCGAUAACACGACACGUCGCUAAGUUUCGUGAUUUUUGGACUUCAUUUGGAAUUUAUAUAAUUAAAAAACACUUUUCCCUCACAUUCCUCGACAUGUUAUGUCAGCGAAAGGGUUGAGAUUUCAUGUGUGGUUGUGGGUACAACCUCAACAUACAAUAAAUAUCUUGACUAUUAUUUUUUGAAUCACUGAGUUCCAAUAUUCCAUAUACCUGCAGUUCAAAUUUGAAUUACGUGAAAAAAUUUAAAGAAACAAGAUUAAUUAGUUAAAUAUAGCAAAAAAAAGUCAAAUUGAUGCCAAAUUUUGAAAUGUAUUUAGAAAUUGGAUCACAAGGAGACAAAAAAAAACUCGAGUCUAAACUCACCCUGGUCGGCGUGGCCAGAUGGGGGUUCGGGACACGAUGGAGGCCACGGCGACGACGGGUCAGAGUCACAGCACUAGGGGUAAGGCGCUAGCGACUUCGAGUAAUGAUAUUCAUGUGGACUUGUGGUUUAUGUUAUAAACUUGUGUUUAUGUUGGACUUUAUGUUAGAUUUGUUAUAUCUAUGUGGAUUUGUGAUAUCUAUGGACUUCGAUAUGUUUCAUGUGAUAUAUAUGUGGAGUGUGAUAUAGACAUGUGGAUUGUGAUAUAUAUAUACAUAUGUGGCUGUGCAUGUAAAAAUCAGGGAAAAAAUAAAAAACAAAAAAAUUCCCACCUUUGCCGAGAGCUGUCCAGAGAGGCUCUCGGCAAAGGUUUUUUUUAAAAAAAAUAAAAAGUCUUUGCCGAGAGCCAGUCUGGACGGCUCUCGGCAAAGCCCUCCUUUGCCGAGAGCCAGUCUGGCAGGUUCUCGGCAAAGGAGGGCUUUGCCGAGAGCCUUCCAGACAGCCUCUCGACAAAGACUUUUUUUUUAAAAAAAAUAAAAAAAAGUCUUUGUCGAGAGCCUGACAGCACGGCUCUCGGCAAACACGACGUCAACAUUAGCGGUCAUCGACGGCGCCGUGGGCUUUGCCGAGGACGUUUCUGGCCCUCGGCAAAGUCUUUGCCGAUAGCCUGCCAAGUGGCUCUCGGCAAAGAAUUCUUUGCCGAGAGCUUCUUUGUCGAGAGCUCUUUGCCGAGAGCCACGUGGCAGGCUUGCCGAGGGCUUUUAGACCUUUGCCGAGGGCUCCUGGCUCUCGGCAAAGAAGGCAAAUCCAGUAGUGAGCUUCAAUUGAUAAGUUACCAGUUGGGUCUUCAUGCAAAACAGAAUAAGUGAUAACAUGGACCUAUGGUAUUUAUAGAAAGAAUACCUCGGAGGUUCAUAAGUCAUAAACAUAUAUAAGCCCAUAGUUUUUUUUUUAAAAAAAAGAAGGAUAUAAGCACAUAGGUUGGUAGCCCGAGUCCUAGGCAAAAGCAGUAUCCGGAUCUUUGAUGUACCAAAUAUAUAUUCAGAGAUAUAUUCAGUCUGCAGCAAUGGACGAGGCUUGGCUUGUGAGCUUUGAGCAGACGGGGAAGAAGUAAAAAAGCGGCGGCAACAAUCCGUGCCUCACAAACUGUUCUCACAUCUCAGUAGCAGUAUCUCACUAGUUCUGGCUGCUGGACCUGAGACUGAGAGUGACGGGCAAAAUAUCUGACGACUUGUGAACGCCAUCGGCAAGAAGCCCAAGAUCGAUCACCCCAGCCCCAGGACGGCGACCUCUACCGGCGCCGGCGGCCCCGCGCGGCAACUGCAGCGCCGCAGGCCCGCAGCAGCUCGCAGGAACGAAAAGUGAGAAGUGGCUUCCUGGACGCAUCGGGCUCACACCUGCGCGCACGCCGUGCAGGUGCAGCUAACUAUGGCUCUCCGUAGCGUGCCACAUCGCUCGCUCCUGCGCCACGAGCAGCUCAUCCGCACCGAACAAAACCAGUAGCCCGAGAUUAGUUGGACACGUCUCGGCCGCCGUCGAUCCCUGUUGGUGGAUGUCGAUUUCACUGAACUUCGCCCAACGCAGUAAUUCACAAAACCGUACCUGAAAUAGUGAUCCCAAGGCUUUUGGCACAGGUAGCAGCUACUUGGACUCAAGAGGAAGCAUCGCACGAAAGCGUUGCACUAGGAGCAUGUUCGUUUGAUGAAAACCUAUGGUUAAAAGUAAUAUUCACUUUAUGAGAGAAAAAUACUGUUAAAUGUUUUAAAUUUAGGAGAUAAACUUAAACAAACAGGUUGCAUGAGGGUGUUCGUUGUAGCUUAAAGUAGCUAUAGUUUUUUUUUUGCUAGGCUGGAUUGGAAAAGUAUGUUAGAGCAUCUCCAAUAGUUUUUAAAAAGACAAUUUAUAAAUCGAAGAGUUUUUUAAAUACCUGAAAAAAUUGGAAGCAUAUUUGUUAGGUUGUUCUAGUGGUUUUCAAAAUAUUAGUUUACUAAAAUAUAGAAGUCAAUUUUACAUCAAGAAUCUUCUUGACUAUUUCUAAGUCAUCCUAACCAUUUUUAUUUUUCUCUCUUAUAUAUUUGUGUCGGAACCAUGUCUUACUUUUUAUUCUUAUUACUCGUGUUCUUCUACUUUCAGAUUGGCCGAUGGAUACAUGUGUGUAUAUAUGCACGUGAUUAGGUCGGUUUUUCCUGGUGUCGACAGAUUGAGAGUGUUUGAAGAGCAAUAUUUUCCAAUCAUGACAAAAAAAAUCUAGAUUGAAAGUGUGUUUUUACAAACUCUUGGAGAUGCUUUAGCUCUAGGCCAAAGAUACAUACCCACCGCUGUCCCAUGACCGUGUAGGGCUAGAUCCACGUCUAGAUAUCUGGUCUGUUAAUAUUUAGUAUGAAGAUAAUUAAACUAAAUAUAUUAAGCAAGACUCAAACCAAAAAUUUCUUUUUUGAGCUCAAGGUUUGUUGCCCAGGCUAAUCCAGUAAGGCCUACGGCUCAAGGUAGGCCUAAAAUUAAUGCUCUAGUCCGCUCACAUGAGAAUCUCAGAAAUAUAGAGCUGUCAAAUCACAAGAUUGACAAAGUUAUCAUAAUUGUCUUGCUGGUGAAAGGUAGAUCGGCUACCAAUAAAAAAGAAUAAUGGUGUGAAGAGCUCGGUUGGUUAGGUUACUUGUUGUGGACCUUCUCGUUCGGGUUCAAGUCAUUGACUUAGCAAUAUGUGUGACUUUAUCAAUUUCUACAUCUAUACUGGGUUUAAAAAAAAUCGUUACAUUCUAAAAUAAAUUCGAAAAAUAAGAGCACUGGUGUUGAAUCUAUGCACAAUAAGUUGACUCAUGAUGAUUGUUGUCCUUUAAAUAGAAUGAUCUUGAAAGAGAAAACGCUUGCUCAGAUAAAACAAAAUCUUAUGAUUACUGGGAAACAAUGAUGUCCUAAAUAAAGAUAGCUUGAUUAAGAGGAUUGAAUUUUGAUAGUCCAAAGUAUUACUCCUGUGAUUUCCUAUUGCAAAAGUGGUGUCGUUAGUGGUUGAUAGUUGAUAAGGGCAAGACCAUUGGAGCUGAUAUCCCAGUGAACCUUACACAAUGUUGGACUUGGAGAAGAAAAUGACUACCAAAUGGUCAGAAAAUGCCAUAUUUUUAAAUUUGCUACAUAUUUUGUGUUAUCUGCAAAAUCAAGAGCAAGCCAUGCUUUGAAAACAACCGAGAAGAACACAAGGAAAAUUAUUUGUAUGCCUUUGCAUUGAUGAAAUACUGUACAUGUCUAUACUCUUUGGAUAAUUUGUAGCAACAUAUAGAUAGUAUAAGUUAUGAUAUAUUUAUUUUAUGAAUAAAUAUUUCUCUUCUUGUAACUGGAGAAACAAUCUAUCAAAGUUAUAUUUUAAUUUGGCUAGGCUUAAUAGGACAUUGUCAUGUUAUUGUCAACUCCAAAAUUCAUCGUAGAAUGAACGAAUUAUAUCCCUUAAAUUUUAUAGAAAAUGUAAAACAUAAUAGAUACAAGAUAUGUGAUAUUCUUGUACUCGCUUCUCACAAAGUACAAAUAAAUAAUAAAAAUAGGGUUAUUUUUUUUGAAAAGCUCUGUUUGUCUGCACUACUUCACCAGCCAGUGAACGAACAGUGUUUUCUCUCACAUCAUUUCAGCAUAAGUUAAAUUUAGUUUUGCAAGAUUUAUAGUAAGAAAAUGAAAAAAAAAGAACAUCCCAUCCGACCAAAUUCGGCGAAGCUCCCAAACAAAACCUGUGAACCCCGAGUUGCCAACCGAAACUAUCUCGCUCCUACGGCGGCCUGACUCAUGUGGGCCAAAAUUCUUUCUUGGCAAAGAAGCAUAGCCCAGGCCCCAGGCAAGGCCGAGAAGGCGAGAAGGCGCAGGAAUCCCCCACUCCACACCAACCUCCAAAAGAUCCAAGACUUCCCAGCCAGCACCCCCGUGCCCGUCCGAAACGAAGCGGCAGCGCACCGUCCCGGAACUCGCGAUCCCCCCGUCUCGUCUUUACCGCAUCCUCAUCCUAUCCGUUUCACGCUUAUUAUAACUCGUUUCCCCGUUCCGCCGUUCGUCCCCUCCCCAUCCCCAGCCCACGACCUCCGCCACCGGCCACCGCCUGCCUCAGAUCCCCCGCCCCGCCCCGCCCGUCCGUUACCCUCCCCAGCGCGACGCGGCCGCGGCCAUGACCAUGACGCCCUCCUCCGCUCUCGCCCUCGCGCACCACGCCGCGGCGUCCCCGCUCCCGGCCUCCACGCCGCGGGCCUCUUCCAGGUCCAGCUCGCUGAGCCUGGUGGGCCCGGGGGCCGCGGGUCUCGGCCCGCGCCGGCUCGUCGCGGCGGCACCCCCGCGGGCGUUCUUCUCCUCGUCCCCGUACUACCAGCCGCCGCCCCAGCAGCAGCCGGAGGGGUUCUCGCCGCACCGGGAGUACGGCCUGGUCCCCAUGGUCAUCGAGACCACCUCCCGCGGGGAGCGCGCCUACGACAUCUUCUCGCGCCUGCUCAAGGAGCGCAUCGUCUGCAUCCACGGGCCCAUCGCCGACGACACGGCCUCGCUCGUCGUCGCGCAGCUGCUCUUCCUCGAGUCCGAGAACCCGCUCAAGCCCGUCCACCUCUACAUCAACAGCCCCGGGGGCGUCGUCACCGCGGGGCUCGCCAUCUACGACACCAUGCAGUACAUCCGCUGCCCCGUCACCACGCUCUGCAUCGGCCAGGCCGCCUCCAUGGGCUCGCUCCUCCUCGCGGCCGGGGCGCCCGGUGAGAGGCGCGCGCUGCCCAACGCCAGGGUCAUGAUCCACCAGCCCUCGGGCGGCGCGCAGGGCCAGGCCACCGACAUCGCCAUCCAGGCCAAGGAGAUCCUCAAGAUGCGCGACCGCCUCAACAAGAUCUACCAGAAGCACACGCGCCAGCCCAUCGAUAAGAUCGAGCAG
RNAcentral lists this long non-coding RNA (48036 nucleotides) under Sorghum bicolor (sorghum). RNAcentral's name for it is "long non-coding RNA (SBIC_LNC007327)". The record is from RNAcentral. Lineage: Eukaryota; Viridiplantae; Streptophyta; Magnoliopsida; Poales; Poaceae.